This 82927-nucleotide long non-coding RNA is filed under the name Vitis vinifera (wine grape). Its description in RNAcentral is "long non-coding RNA (VVIN_LNC006113)". Lineage: Eukaryota; Viridiplantae; Streptophyta; Magnoliopsida; Vitales; Vitaceae. The record is from RNAcentral.
GCUUCACCGCUGCUAGAGCUCGCGAUCUCCUCUACGUGUUGGCCCUACCUGCACAAAGGACACUCUAGGUAGGUUCCCGAGGACACUAUAGGAUCGUGAGCUCUAACAUUGGUGAAGCUAGGUUGAUCAUGAACUUCCGAAGUAACAAAAUAACCAAAAUAAUCAAUUCUCUAGAGAUUGCUUUUGUUUCUUUUUAUUUCCCUUCCAUAGGGAUUUAAGAGAAUGUAAUAUGAAUAUGCACAAUUUUUAAUCAAUUCAAUCCAUGUUUAAAAAAUAAAAAUAUUCGAGAAGUACUAUUCUGAAGGAAAAUUUCUCGAAACAACUUUCAAUCAUGUUAGUAAACGUGUUUUCAGUAGUAUUUAAAAAAAAUAAAUGAAUCAAAUACAGUUUCAGUGCUGAAUUUGAGCUCAUCUUCUGUCCUGUGUCUUGGAUUAGCGCAAACCGUUCUCCACUGUGGCCGACUUCCAAAUUAUUCGAUACUCGUAAUGCAAAUCAAAAUUAGAUUAAAAAAAUGAAGCUUACAACAUUAUGUUUGUGUUGCUCAAUCAUUGAUGGAGGCUGGAGCCUUGUGUUUAGGUCUUCAAAGGGCAGUUGAGUUCUUCGAAUGAAGAUGAAGAUUGUCAUGGACUGAGAUGCCCAUUUGAACAUGGGGUUUGGCGUUUUACGCUUUCUAAUAGAUUAAUUUUGUGGGUCAUCGUUGGGUUCUGUUGUGAAUUCCAUUCGAAGGAUGGGGUGGGUGCAAGGGCUUUCACACAACGACGUCGUUGUGGUUUCUCCGUUUCUGGCAAGGACAUUGAAAUGAAAGGUUUCAGGGGUUUCAGCAGACGAGGUGUUUUCUGGUGGCAGAUGAAUCUUUUAUGAGGUAAUCAUAAGCUGAUAAUAUUUAUAGUAAGUGGGUCUUAAGUUUUUUGCUAAUUCAAUCUUUAUGCGCUAUGCUGUUGGGUUGGUCUUAUUGCAGUUGAAGUACUCUGCUUACUUUAUAUUUCUUUAUGCGCUAUGUUUAGGGCAAAUGUUUUCUUCUGUUCAUUGCAUAUUUGAGUGUUGGAGCUAGUCUGGUUAAGAUCCCAUAAAGAAUAUUUUGUAGAGAACUUGAAAGUGUAGGGUUAAAAAAAAACUGGAUUAAUAUGUGGUAUGCCAUGUUUAUCAGGUAUAGUAUGGCUUAAACUGUUAUGAUCAGUCAAUUUUUGGAACCACUGAUUGGGUAAUUAGUAUCAUAUGAUGGAGUUGAUAACUGUGAAGGGCAGGGAUAGAUUUACCACUUUUUCAAUCUAAAGGGUUUACGCUCUAGUUUUCAACAGAAUUUAAGUGUGCGAGUCAGUUUCUAACCCCAACCAGAUUGUUGUUUGGUUUUAAAAUGUACAUUCAUGGAGAGGCCACAGAUGCUUUCUUACAUUUUCAAACAGUUCUGGACAAGUGGGUCAAUAAACAUCAUAUCAAGACUCAGUUGAUCCAUAUAUCUAAAAUGUUCCGAAUUAGAAAUUUCCAUGAAAGAAAAAUGAUCCCAACUUUUCAAUUCAUAAAUUAAAUAAAAUCAGGCACAAUAAUUGAGCUAAUAUGUCUCACAAGUGCAGCAGAAAAGCUUUAAUGCUUAUGCAAUGUUGUCUAGGCUUCUCUCAUGUUUAAACAAUCUGUUAGGAUUUUAUCUACAUUAACCUAAGGUAAUCAUCCUAGAGGGGAGUUGGGAGGAGGGUGGGGGGUCGUUUAAUAGGGUGAUGGUCUCUUUUUUAGAAAGAAUUAAACUAUUUGAAUGCAAGAAACAAUUAUAUGCAGAUAUAUAAUAAAUAUAAUGAAAAAACAAUUACAUAUAAAAUAAAAAGUAAGGUUCAUGAAGACACCUUUUCUUUGAACUGGUCCUUCCAAGUCAUUGAAAGAAAAAAAUCAAGAUCUUCAAAUACAUCCUCUCUAAAUCUUCCGGGAUUGGGCCGGAGAGGCUAUUAGAAGAAAGAUCUAAUCUCUCCAGUGCCAAUAAUUUGCCCACUGAAUUAGUUAUUAAACCCCCUAAUUUAUUUCUUGCUACAUUGAGAUCAUGCAAACUUAAGUGACCGCCAAUUAUUGCUGGCAUACUUCUUGACAAUUGGUUGUCAGAAGCAUCCAGGGUGCCUUGAUUUUCCAAACUGCCAACUUUGAUGGGCAAAGAACCAUUUAGAGCCUUUUGUGCCAAUCACAACUCCAGUAAACUGGCGGUUAUUUACUUGUACUUUUUGGCUGGUUUGGCGGUGAGUGUAUAGGUAUUGUAUAUCUUGAGUCGCUCUUUUGACGCCUCUUUUCACAAGAUCUUUUCUUUACCUAUCAAAAAAACAGCUCCAGUAAACUGGGGCAGGAAAAUCUCCUUGGGUAUGCUGCCACUGAGCUUGUUAUGGGCUUGACCCAAUGUCCUUAGACUCUGGCACUCCCCAAUAUUUUGAGGAAAGAAAUGGUUAUAUCCCAUCCUAAGCUCAAGUAAUCACAUAAGUUUGCCAAAGGUAUCUGGAAUUUCUCCAGAUAAAGUGUUUUCAUUUGCUAAAAUUUUCUGUAGUGUCAGAGAAAGGUUUCCUAUAGAAGUUGAUAUCUUACCUGCAAAGUCAUUCUGCUGUAUGUCCAAGGCCUGGGGAUUUUCAAAUUUGAAAGCCCUCGGGGAAUGCUACCAGUCAGGAAAUUGUAGCCAAUGCAAAGUUCUUGGAGAUGCAUAGAAAGAUUCACAAUUGAACUUGGAGGUUUCCCUGUCAGAUGGUUGGAAUUAAUAGAUAGAACCUCCAAUGGGGUAAAGUUUGUUAGGAAAUUAAUUACCUGAAGAUUUAGCUAGGUGGUAGGAGAAAGAUUGUUCCAUCCCAGAUUUAGGAUUCUAAGAUUAUUUAUGUUACCAAGUAGAGAAGAGAAGUCACGGAUUCGUAUUUGAGAAGCAUUGGAUAGUGAAAUGGGUAUGAGUCCUUUCAUCAUGUAAUAUCUGAUAAGAAGAGUUCCCUCAGAUUAGGUAGAACAAGGCCAAUAUCAGCGGGUAGUUUUUCAACCUGCAUGCUUUGUUUUUCACAUCAAAGAGGAAAUGUUGUAGAUGAAGUGAGGGAACUCACCAUCUAAGAAAUUCUCUAAGAGCUGAAGUUGCUGAAGAUUACGGAGAUGACCCUUCUCAUUUGGAAUAUUACCCAAGAAUUGUUUUCUCACUAGUCUCAAAACAGCAAGAGAGGUGAGAUUUCUAAAUGUAGGAGGUAUUGCACCUAUAAGAUUAGUCACUGCAGCAUGUUAAGAUCUAGCUAUACCAACAUAAGGUAAUCACCUUGGAGAGGGGGAAAGUAAAUAGGUGAUGAUCACUUUUUACAAAUUUAAACUUAGAGAAUGCAAGUAACAAUAUAGUAAUAAUAUAAUAAAAAAAUAAAGAACAAUAAUUAAAGAGAUUAGGGAAGAGAGAUUGAAAACUCCAAUUUAUAGUGGUUUGGCCUAAUCCUGGCCUACAUCUGCUCUCCUCUGGCUUCAAUCAAGAUUGGGGUACCACCAUACCAAGGCUUCCAAAUCAAGCCUUUAAGCUUUACACUCAUAUUAAAAGGCUCCAAUGGGCACUUACAAUUUUCUUCAAAAGAUGUCUCACUCUUAAAUUCCCCAAGUGAUACCCCAUACUUAACAAACCCCUAAGUGAUACCUCACACUUAGGUUUUUCCUUCGAGUGAUACCCCAUACCUGAGCUCAUCUCACAAGGUUUACAAGAAAUGAAUUUUUCAAUACAAAUUUCUAGUUUACAAAUUUUUGCUUAAGGAUGCAAAGAAAACUAGAAUUGAUUAGGUGCACUAAGAAUGAAAUAUAAGUUUAAGCCCAAUGCUCUCAAAAAUAUUUUUGUAAGGCUCAAAAGUGUUGAACUAUUAAUUUUCCUAAAAGUUAAAGCUUAUGGGAUUUAGGCUCACAAGAUAUAUCAUGUACUCUAACACCCUCCCUUACGUGUAACCUCUAUUUUUGGGCUUUCACUUAGGCUUAAUAAAUUAGGUAAAUAAACAUGCAUUGGUGGUUCAAACACUUGACCCCCCUCUAAACAGGGCUUUGAUACCAUUUUGAAGUUUGAAUUACCAAUUUUCCUAAAAGCUUAAACUUGUAGGAUUUGGGCUCGCAAUGUAUAUUAUGCGCUCUAACAAAAGGUGAUUAAAUAAUGGUUUAGAAGUAUUCUAUCAUUUAUAAAUGAAGUAUAGUGCCUUUAUAUAGGAGCUAAAAGGUUAAACUAGCCGUUAGAAAUAAGUCUCCCAGAACUAGAUGUCCUCAUGGGCAUCCACAUGCUAGCCGUUGGAGCACUUAAUGAGGUGCAAAGAGCCAUUGGAGCAUUUAAUGAGGUGUAGAGAGCUGUUGGAGGCAAAAAAGUAGAUGUGGAUGUCCACUUGGUCAUCCACAUUGCCAAGCGGAUGACCGCAUGGCUGUCCACAUGACUUCUAGUAGCUAAAACUACCAAAAUAGAGCAAGUGGAUGACCACCUGAAUGUCCAAAUGACAACUGGAUGAUCGCUUGGUUAUUUGCAUGUGCUCUAAUCCAAUAUUUUUCGAAGUUUAUGCAUGUUUUGAGGCCAAGACCACCUUUAACUAGCCCAUAUGAAUGUAAAUCACCUUUUAACAAAGUCUUAAUCAAUAUUUUGAGAUAUUUUCAAGGUUUGAGAGCAUCGUGGUUAAGUCAAAAAUGUUUUUAAGAAACCUUAAAAGAUUUUCAUGUAUAGCUUGAGGCCCAUAUGAAUGUACAUACUCAAAAUGAUUUUUAUCCAAAUUAUAAAACUAUUAAACCAAUUUAAAACUCCUGGAUAAUGUUUUGGUGCUUAACAAAAAUCUGUAAUCUUAACUUAGUGCACCCAUCAUCUUACAUAAGGUAUUCUAAUGAUAAACUUGAUAAACCUUUUCUUCAUUCUUUUUGAAUUCCUCUUUUGCUCCAUGUAUCUUUUUCUUGAUGGUUCUAAGGAGAUCUUCUUGUGUAUCACACUUAAACAUAAUCAUUAGAUCCAAACCUUGUUUUGUUAUCAUUAAAACACGAGGUUAACUAAACCUUGGUCUAACACAACAUUGAGAACUUUUGAGUCUUGACAAAUGGCCAAGCUUAAAAGAAAGCUUUUUAGUAGUGGCUGUACUGUAAAUGAAUCUCCUCAAGGUUAUAAUAAGUUAAUAACUAGAGAGACUGACUGGAAUUGUACCAUUAAUGGAAUUUUGUGCAAGGUUAAUAUGCUGAACAAGUGAGGGCUGGCCAAACUCCAGGAGAAUUGGCCAUAAAAUGAGUUCUUGGAAAGAUUUGAGUAAUUGCAGGAAGGUGAGGUUGGAGAGUUGAGGGGAUAUGAUACCAGAGAGCUGAAGUACAGCAAACCAAGGAAAGCGAACCAAGCAAAAUGAGUAGAGUGUGAUGAAUUUAGGUUCCAGCCAUGAGUUCCUUAAUUGGUGCAAGUGACACCAUGCCAAGUACUGUGAGAUGAAUUUAGGUUCCAGACUGACAGAGCAGCAUGAGGGUCAGAGGCUUUGGAUUUCAAAGAUGGAAGUGCAUGUAUCGGUGUUAGCAACAAGAGCUCCUGGCUUGUUCAUGCUGCAAUCUAGAAUAAUUUGAAGCUUGAGGAGGAUGAGCCAUGAAAUCUGGAGAUGCUCUUUCAUUUUUGAAAUGAGGAUCAUGGACUGCAGGGCUUGCCCUAGAUGUAUGGCUGUCAGCAGUUUAUGCACAUAGUUAUCACCCUAAGUUAAGGCUUGAAGAUGAUUUAAAGAAAUCAAAACAAUUCAAUUUUCCAUUCUUCUGCAUUACUCAAAUAAAAAUAUAAGGGUUAUAUCUUCCUGUUAUAAAUUUUGCAAUACUUCCAUGACAUUAUUAAUAUUUUGGAGACUGUUAAUUUCUCUCCUUGUUUUAGUGAAAUUCGUGAAAUGUCCUUGAUACAUUGUGGUAUAUCUCCUGAACCUCCAUAUUUCUUUUCAAACUUUCAUAAUCUCUUCCAUAUUAUAUCAAUGAUAAUUGAUUUGAUCUGGAUUUCACUCCUUAUGCUAUCUGUUUUUAAGAAUAAUAAUAUUUCAUGAGACUUUGAUAUUCAGACUUAUAUUUUAUAUAUACUAGUUAGCUAUCAAAAUUCCAUCUGCUGUUACACAUUUCGUUUAUAAUAAACAACUUUAAUGUUAUUCUGUCAAAUAUAUGAAUAUUUACCAAUUUACAACUCAUACAUAUAAGUCAUCAUGCACAACUCUCACCCUACAUACUACACAUUUGUCAUGUCUAUAUUAUUUUAUUAAUAUUCAGUCUAAAUUUUGCAUUAUAACAUGCAUCAGCAAUUCUUGAAGUUUCAAUUUAAAUUUCUAUGUUGUGUAUGUAAUUUAGAUCAUUUCUUUAAAAAUUUGUGAAUAUUGAUAUUUAUUGUUAUUUCCAUUGAUAUUCCUAAACAUCCACAAAAUGAAUAUUUGAAAACUUGAGUUUAUUGAACAAAGGGAGAUUUGUUCUCUCUUUUAUCCAAAGUUAAACAAUAAUUUUAUUUCCUCAUAAUCACUUCUCCAAGUCAUCUGACUACAUGAUAUAAAAUUUGGCCUUAUUUUUGUCAAUAUUUGUAAACAUUCAAAGAUUCCUUUUCGAAAAAAAAAAAAAAAAUCUAAUAGGCAGUCAUUCUGUGUGACAGUACUGAAUUGCUCUGAUCAUAAGACUGACCCUGUUUUAUGCAAAGGAAGCUCGUCUCCUUUGACCAAUUGGUGAGUCUGGUAUGCAGGGCAUAUCGUCAUGAAUUGUUUGAAUGAAUAUGGGUUCUAUUUAGCCUUGGACCCAGGGAGCAUGACAGCUUGAGCUUGUGCAUAUUUUUCCCUUUGAAUACUUCUUUAAACCUACAUGCUUCAGGAACUAGAAUAUCAAAAGAUAGUAAUGAGGGAAUUGCCCCAAUCAUAAGACCAACCCUGUUUUAUGCCAAGAAAGCUCGUCUCCUUUGACUAAUUGGUGAGUCUGGUAUACAGGGCAUAUUGUCAUGAAUUGCUUGAAUGAAUAUGGGUUCUAUUUAGCCUUUAACCCAGGGAGCAUGACGGCUUAAGCUUGUGCAUAGUUUUCCCUUUGAAUACCUUCUUUAAAGCUACAUGCAUCAGGAAUUAGAAUAUCAAAAGAUAGUAAUGAGGGACUUGACAGCUGGAGGCUUUUCCUUGAGCAUGUCUGACUGACUGGAUGCCUUUGAAUAAAUAAAUAAAUAAAUAAAUAAAUUGUACUCAUCCAAAUGCAAUCAUAAAGUUGAUGGAUUCAUCUUGAAUCUUAAUGCUUAACCUUCUCGACAGUAGUUGAUUAUUAAUUGGGGGGAAAAAAAUGAGAGAGAGCGAGAGUGAACACACGAGCGAAGGCAAGGAGGGGGAGAGCCGAGCAGAGAAUCGUGGGAAGAGGAAGGGAAGCAGAUUUGUGGUGGAAUCGAAGGUGUUAGAGGUAGAAGCCGAGGAGAGAAAAGGCAAGAUCCAAGUUAUUAUCUCGGAAAGCAAGGGAGAGUUACUGUCUUGGGUCCGCCUGGGGCCGGCGAGUGUGGGGCUGUUCAUAGAAGGGUUGACUCAAUGCAUAAGGGAUGGGAAAGAAGGAAGAUGGGAGAAGGGUUGGAAGGAAAAAGGGAGGACUUACUCUUUGGUGAGAGAGGUCAACAGGGUUGGGUGUUUCAUCCGUCUAGGGGUGACCGAUAUGGAGAAGAGGAGAUUUGGUAUUUGUAUUCCAAAAGGUAGGGGGGUGAAGGGGGGAUGGGCUUCUAUGGUGGAGUCCUUACGGAAUGUGGGACUUUGGUUCGAAAAGAAGGAAACCGACCAAGAAGUAAAGGUCUCAGGCAGGUUGUAUGUGGAAGUGGUAAAGGGUCUGGAGUGCAGGGAUGCCUCAAGGGUUAGAGUGGAGGUAAAGGGAGAGGAAAUAAGGGGAAAUGUGAGUAGAUUGGAGCAUUGCUUGGUAGGAAAAUGGAACCCUAGAUCAGCACAAGAAGAGGAUUUGGAGAGAUUAGGGUGGUCGGUGGCAAGAGCGUGGGGGUUGAAAGGUAAAUUAGGUUUGGCUAGAUUGGGUAAGGGAUGUGCUCUUAUGGAGUUUGAGAUUGUGGAGGAAGCUAAGAGGGUUCUAGCCUCGGGGGAGAGAUUAGUGGGAGGGAUUCAGCUGGGAUUGGAGAUGUGGAGCCCGAAAUUUGGAUGUUCUUCAGAGGGUGAAGCUAGGAAAGAAGCCUGGGUGAGGAUUUUGAGUCUCCCAAUUUCGCUAUGGGUGCCGUCAAUUCUGAGGAGAGUGGGGGAAGCGUGCGGCGGGUUUUUAGGCAUUGACUCCCUAACAUAAAGGAAGGAGGAACUGGAGUGGGCCAGGGUUCUGAUAAAAUCGAAUGGGGAGGAUUUGCCGAGUACGUUGGAGAUCGGGGUUGAGGGGGAGGUAUACGCCCUGUCUCUGUGGUGGGAGAUCUCGCCGUCGCUGAGGAAGAAACGGGGGGAUGACCGAGACGGGUAUGGGCGGCAGAAAGGGGAGGUUAGGGGUGAUGAAGAGGUCCUUCACCUUUUAGAUUCGAGAACAUGUGGCUGAAAGUGGAAGGGUUUAAAGACCUCAUGCGGAGUUGGUGGCAGGGGAUGUCGGUCAGUGGAAGGGCUAGCUAUAAGCUGGCUACAAAAUUGAAGGUGAUUAAACAGAAUUUAAAAACCUGGAAUAGGGAGGUGUUUGGGAGCUUGGAGAGUAAUAAAUUGGUUGCUUUACAACAAGUGGAAUACUGGGAUCAAGUGGAAAGCGAGAGGAGACUGAUAGAGGAGGAAACCUCCAUUAAAAAAGAAACAAAAGAAGGAUAUGCUAAGUGGGUUAAUUUGGAGGAGAUACAUUGGAGACAGUUAUCAAGGGAGAUAUGGCUAAGAGAAGGGGAUAGAAAUACGGGUUAUAAAUGACAUUUGGGUGGAGAACGUUUCUUCUAAGUUAGCAUUCUUUGCGUGGGAAGCUACUUGGGGGAGGGUUCUUACCCUUGAUAGGCUUCAAAAGAGAGGAUGACAGCUUCCUAAUCGUUGUUAUUUAUGUGGUAGUGAUGAGGAAAAUGUAAAUCAUCUUCUUAUUCAUUGUACAGUGGCUAGAGUGUUGUAGGAGAUUGUCCUUGGUUUGUUUGGUACCCAGUGGGUCUUUCCAGAAUUUGUAAAGGAGGUGGUUCUUAGCUGGAAGGGUUCUUUUGUGGGUAAAAAGAGGGAGAAAAUUUGGAGAUCCAUUCCGUUAUUUAUUUUUUGGACGGUUUGGAAGGAGAGGAAUAGAUUAGCAUUCACAGGGGGGGGGGGGGGGGGGGGGGUUAGUUUUUUAAAAAAUAAAAAAUUUUUUUUUUUUUAAAGGGGGGGGGGGGGAAAAAUUUUUAAGGGGGGGGGGGGCCCCCCCCCUUAAGGGUUUUUGGGGGGGGUUGGCCCCCCGUUAAGGGGGGGGGGGUUUUUUUUUUCCUUUUUUUUUUUUUGGGAGGGCCCCGGCGCCCCCCAAAACCCCCUGUUGGUAUGGGGGGGUUUUCCCUUUUGCAAAAAAAGGGGUUUUCUUUCCGAAAAAAAAAAAAANNNNNNNNNNNNNNNNNNNNNNNNNNNNNNNNNNNNNNNNNNNNNNNNNCUCCCUUAUAGGUUUCUUGGAGUGGUUAGCCUCCAGUUAAGGGUCGGUGGGUUUUUUUGUUCCUUUUGUCUUUUGUUGAGAGGCCCACGUCGCCUCGUAUACUCCCUGUAUGCUAUGCGGCGUUUUGCCUUUUGCUAAUAUAUGUGUUUACUUAUCGAAAAAAAAAAAAAACCUUCUAUACAGUAUAUUAUUUCCCAAUGGAAGUGCUAUAAACUAAACAAAUACACCCUUUCCAAUUGCUAUAAAAAUUACUGGGUUGGAAACAGUCCACAUAGGUGAGUGAAUUAUCGAAUAAUCUCAAGAUUGAACAGCCAGAUUUUUCCAGAUAAGAAGUCGCUACAAAUCUUUUCUUCUCUUAAUUAUUUUCUUCUUUGAGAUUCUGUAACUGCUGUGUGUGCAUGAUUGGUCACUCAUUUUCUUGUGACAUCAUCUUCAUGACUUAUUUUCUUCACAAGAAACAUUCUUUUUUAUUCUUUGACAGAAUUUAAAAGUUGACUUUGAUUGGUUUACCACUUAGUUGCAACCUCAUUUUCUUAGCCACCUUUCCCCAUCCCAAGUUCAAAAGCCUUGUUUCUAUUUCUAAGUCAGUAAGAGCUAUCCUUACUCCGUCAUUUAUCAGGAUUGUAUAUAUCGUGUACUCUUUGGUGCCAUUAUAUAUACAUGUUAUUUGUAAAUCAGAAAAAAAAAAUAUGGAAAAAUGUCUUAAGAGAGUGGUUUGGAGUUAUUUGGGAUUGUGAUUAUGGGGGGUGGGUUUUUUUAUUCAGCAUUAGUAAGUUCUCUCCAAUCUUCUUCAACUUUUGAUUUAUGCCAAGAUUUUUGCAGUUUAUUUUUGUAGUUGCCAGCAUAAGUUAAGGCCUGAGGUGUAGAAGAGGAUAACCCAUGAAAAUUGAGUUUAUAGAGAAAAGGAAAAACAUAUUUUAUUUAUUUUUAUUACUGUUAAAGAGUAAAAAAUGUAUGUUAAGUUAACGUCCUCUUGUGCACACAUCUCCAACCGUGCAGGGAGUGAAACAUUUUUAAACAAAUGCAUGGGGAAUAAACGAACAUAGAAGUUUAAACCUGAGAGUUCUAAGAAUCAAGGCUCUAGUACUAUAUUAAAUGAUCAGUUAUCACAAAAGUUUAAGCUUAUACAGAAUGAGUUAAGAAUAUUUAUCAAGUUAAUGGAAAUGAUAGGAACUAGUUAGUGAAAGAGAGUGACAAAGGAAAUUGACAGCAGAAAGCUAAUCCUUCAAAAGUAAAUGGAAUUAACAAAUUAACAAAUUACACUCAUUUCCAUGCUGUUAAAGAAAAUGAAAUCGAUCUCCAUGUGACUUAGUCAAUUGGUUCAUCUCAAAGGUCUAGUUUUUAAACUUGUUGGUAUUAUAUGUAUGGAUAUACCCAAUUCAAUUGCCAUUAAAAAAUAAAUAGAUAAAUAAAUAAAUAUACUCCUUCCAAUUGCUAUUAACAAUUAUUGGAAGUGGGUGACUAUCUGUAUGGUUGACCUGGUAAACGGAUUCAUCUCAAGAUGGCCCAAUUAGCUUUUCUAGAGAAGUCAACACAAACAAUUUUAUUGUUUUAUUUUUAUUUUUUGAUUUUUCUUCUUCUACAACAAUUGGCUGUUCAUGAUUAGUCACAUAUUGGUUGUAACAUCAUCUUGAUAACCUACUUUUCUGCAUGGGAAUCAUUUUUUUUUUUUUUGGUUCUUUGACAGAAUGUUAAAAUUGACAGAGAUAAUGAGAUUGGUCCAACACUUAUUAAUGGCAACAUCAGUUUUGUUAGCCGUUUUCAUCUAUCUCCUAUGUAGAGGCCUUGUUCCUUAUGCCUAAUCUAUAAGAGCUAUCUUCUGUGUAUCAUAGAUGGAUCAUGGAUUAGAUAAUGCAUAUGCAAAACAUAGAAGAAAGAACACUGCAGGGAUCAUUUCCUAGGAAAAGCCUUUCCUCUCAAAGAAAAACUAAUCAGGAUUCAGUACUACUAGCAUACUUUUGAUCAAGUAGAUUUUAUGAGCUGAGCUGACUAAUAGAUCUUCUAUGCCUAGUCCCUUUGUUUUGUACCAAAAAAGGAAAAAAGGAAGUGAGAAAAUAAGAAAGGAGAAAUCAGAAUGAGAAUUUAGAGUGCAUGAUUUAAAAUGCUUAAANNNNNNNNNNNNNNNNNNNNNNNNNNNNNNNNNNNNNNNNNNNNNNNNNNNNNNNNNNNNNNNNNNNNNNNNNNNNNNNNNNNNNNNNNNNNNNNNNNNNGAAACAGUCGACAACCCUAGAUUUUCUUAUUAUGUAAUUAAAUAGUCAGCAUUUCCAAAUCCCUCGUGUUUUCGUGUAUAAAUACUCAACCUUGACUAAAAUUCUUCAUUCUCAUCCCACUCUAGCUUUUGUUUUCUUUAGCUUGUUAUAUAUUCAUCCUCUGAAGUUAGCAUGGCAAAGAUUUAUUCCUCUAAGGCCUCCAAAGUAAUGCUGACAGCUAUAUUUGUAGCAAUUCUAUUGCUUAUGUUCUCUAUGGCCACUACUGCAAUUCUACAGGACACAACAAUAGGAGUUCAGUAGGGUGAGUAGAAAAUUAUCAUAUGGAGUGUUCUAUUUUUAUUUCUCAAUGCCAAGAUACUUUUGCUUUUUGCUAUCAACUUUGCAUGCCUUUUGCCUUCUUCAUUUCUGUGAUUGUGUGUGAACUUUGUUCAGUUUCUAUGAGUUGGGGGUUUUAUUGAAUUCCAUCCAUGGAAUUGGUAACUGAGAAAUCUUCAAACAGAAGGGUCUACUCAUCUGUGUUCCUGACCGCCUAUCAUUUUUGUGUUGCAGGACGGAAGGCUCUAGGUUUAUCUGUUCAUGUUGAUUAUGAAGACCAGUAUGAUGCAGGAAGGGGAGGAUACGGCUCAACAAGUCCAUAAUCGUGGGAUUGAGUUCCCAAGAGCUGUUUUCGGGAAGGUUGCCAAAUAAAUCUAAGAAUUUCUGUGUUUCUGAGUGAUAAUAUAUGGUUCAUGUAUGUUAUUUUACAAAGCAUUUGUACCUUAAAGAAGCACAGAAAGUUGGUGUUAGUCUCUAUAGUGUUGUGAAUUUAUUUUUCCUGCAGUUGUGUUGAAAUUAUAAAUGAAGAGCUUUUCUCCCAGUUCCAUAGUAAUUCUCUUUAGUACUCUACAGAGGAGUCCUACCCAAAUCCCACACCAAAUUGUUAGUUUACAAAAGUCUAUUACCCAUGGAAAAGCUGGGAGUUCUUCAUCCCACACCAUAUUGCAUUUGAUACAGAUUGCAAUAAUUUUAUGAACAUUAUUGGGAGAACCUUAAUUUAAUUUAAUUUUUUAUUUUAUUGCUGUACAUAUGCAAAAAUCCCACACAUUCUGUGUUCAACCAAAUCACAUUGUUAUGUGGAACCAAAAAACCGCUGUCGUUUAACUCCACGGAGAAAGUGUAAGUACUGCAACUGCUGAUAAGUGAUGAUGGCAUCUGCCAUUGAUGCAAAUCUGUUUUCUUGUCACUUCUUCAGUUUUCUUGUCCACCAAAAGAGGAUUGAAAGUAUUUUAUGUCCUUAGUUUCUUCCUUUUAGGAUCAGCUGAUCCAAUUCUCUUGCGUCGGUUUCUCAAUUGUGAGAGCCAGAGGUUUUAGAGGUUUCGAGUCUUUUGACAUGAUGAAAAUGACCCACAAGUCCUGUAGGGGUUUUCAACUGAGGAGCAGGAUUUAAAUUUCAAUGACGUGUAGAAAAAGAAAAUUUUGUUUCUUUCUGCAACCAGCAACCCAACUAAAAGAAAGCAGGUUCAGUCAACUUUAUUAUGAAUGGAGCCUGUAUUACAAAAGAAAGUGAAGCGUUAAGACAAAUAUUGAGACCCAUUUAAUUCUGCUGCUUGGCGUUUUCAGAGUGAUUUUGUUGGUAAUUUGCUGGAUUUUGUGGCGCUUUCUCAAGGGUAGGUGUGAUUUUUUGGUUUCUGAAGGAGAGAGACAGAGGGAUAUCAUAAAACAACGUGGCUAAAACUUCUCUCUUUCUCACAAUAAGUUUAGGCGUUUAGGGUUUUUGCCUCUAAUUGGCAGCAGCAUGGAGCUGUGCGGGAGAUGGACAAAUAUGAGAAAAAAUCUAACCCACCUGCAUGGAAGCCAUUUUUGAGCGUCUGAGCUCUCCUUUUUUAUCAAUUGGAUGCUGUUUAUGUAGGGCUUAACCAAUCCAAGUUGAAGCCCUAGCUCAAACCCUGAUGGAGCUAAUUAGUCUUAUGUCCGGAAAGAGCUUACUUGUUUUACUUGAGCCUUGAAAAAGUUCAGCAGAUGGAGAGUUACAUUUUCCUAAUCCUACGUUUGCUAGUUAUAAUUACAAUUCCCCAUCUCUCCUUGUAAAUUCUCAGUUUAUAACAAUAUUAGCUAUCUCAUCCUAAGCCCAAAACAGCUUGCUCUAAAUCUCUAAUGCCUUCUAAUUCAUGGUAACGGAUGCUUUGCUUUGCUUCGGUAUGUCAACUUUACACAAACAAAAAUAACAUUCCAAUUGGAAUGUGUUCGAUUAGUUAUGCAUUUAACUACAUGCACUUGUACUUUGCAGGAGAAAUCGAGGGCUUUCCAUGCAUUAAUUGAAUAAGGCUAGUGACUAGUCUAAUGAGUAUCCAAUGGAUGAGUCAUAAGAAAAGAGGAAAGAGAUAUUUUCCUGGUUACUGGAUGAGGCAGAGGCUGAAUCUUUACGCUUUACUUGAUGCCUGAGAAAGAUUCUAUGGAAAUCAUUUCUUGAAAAUAUUACAGUAAGGGGGUUGUAUGUUUCUUCCUCUUGAAAUUUUGAUGAAUAAUUUCCUCUUGGUUUUGAAGUUGUGGUUUCCUACAUUGGUGGAUGUCAUUGGCAUUAUCUGACUCUGUUUAUCUAUAUUUCUUUUAUUCUUUGCAUUUAUUUUUCUGGCCCCUUUCCUUUUCUUGUUUAUGUCACAUUUUCUGUUGAUUAUCUUUUAGAAUGCUAUGUUUAUACAAAUAACAGUGUGGCUUAGAACUGUUGUAUGUUUGCAGUCUAUUGCUCAAACCGUCUGUCUGAAUACAAUGGUUGAGCAAUAACCUAAUAAUUGAAAGUUGUGAAGAACUCCCAUAUUGCUUUUGUGUGAAUCCCAUGGUUGAUGUUUUUUUUUUUUUCAUCGUUUUGGAAGGGGUCUGAUAUAUUUUUUUUCAAUAGGGUAAGUGUGAGGCAUACUUUCUGACCCCAACCAGAUCCAUCAUUUUGAUUUAAGAAUUUUGCAUUUGUAGAUAUACCAAGAUGCUUUUGUUUUGCUGUUAACACAUUUCCAAACAAUUCAGAUAAAGUGUACCAAGAAACAUCAUCAAUAGAAAUAUCCAUAUUUUCAGUCUACAGAUUAGGAACUUGCAAUAAUAUAGCUCAUAAAUCCAGUAGAAAAGCUUUAAUAUCAUGCAACUUUGUCAAUGCUUCUCUCAUGGUUGAACGAUCUGUGGUUGAAUGAGCAGCACACGACAAACCAACAUGUAUUAUGGCAGUAAUACACUCUUCAGUUUUGAUUUUCCAAUGGGACAAAGUAUUGCUGCUAGUACCGAUGCUGUUAAUGCAACCAGAAGAACUAGUGAAGAUGCUAUAGUCUAUACAAGCAUCAUCGUUAAAAAGCCGUUUGUCAGCCAUAUCUAAAAAUUGAUUUAUGAGCAGUGCAGAUGCCAACUUAUUCUGAUUUAAACCUUCCUGAAACAUGUCAUCAGUGGGUUUCUUUGCUGUGAAUAUCUCAAGCAGCAAAAUUCCAAAGCUGUAGACAUCCCUACUUGUUGAAAUUCUGCUACCUAAACUACACUCUACAACAAAAUAACAGCACAUUAGAGUAAUGGACACCCGCACUCAAAAAAUUGUAAUACUAGUCAUAAAGGGAAAACAAUGAUUUGGACAGUUUUAGUUGUGUGUGGUACCUGGAGCAAUGUAACCAAUCGAGCCCUUUAGUCCAAUUGUGCUGCUUUCAUCCUCUGAUGGAUUCUUCCAAAGGAACCUUGCCAGUCCAAAAUCUCCCACAUGGGCUCCCAUAUUAUCAUCUAAAAGUACAUUUGCAGGUUUCAAAUCACAAUGGACAACAGGUGGAUCACAGUCAUGGUGCAGAUAAUUCAAGGCUGAAGCUACAUCUAUUGCAAUAUUUAAUCUCUGGAUCAGAGUCAACGCUAACCUAGAAUUGGUAUCUUCUGGAUACAGCCAUUUCUCCAGGCUACCAUUGGACAUGAACUCCAUAACCAAGGCCUUGAAUUCAACCCUCCUUUUGUCAAUGCUUGAGCAUGAAGUGAUAACCUUCACAAGGUUUCGAUGCUGAAUGUUCCUCAACACUUCACAUUCUGUAUUGAAAUUCUCAGAUGCUUCACCUUGUUGUAAGUCGAUAACCUUCACUGCAAAUAUGGUGUUGACCCCAUUUUCACCAGUUCUGAAAACUCCUUUAUAUACAGAUCCAAAGCCUCCCUUUCCUACCAAAUUUUCUGCGGAGAAAUCAUUUGUAGCAUGCUGGAUGUCAGAGUAUGAUAUCUUUGGCAGCAACGCCUUGAAACAAGGAGAUGGAAAAGUUGUUCCUCUCCUCUUUUUCUUGUUUUGGGAGAUCAGCAUCCAUGUGAUGCAGGCUGCACACAUUAACAGAGUCAAGCUGGCAACUGGAAUCACAAUCUUGAGUAUCAAAUGCCUAUUUGACUUCACUUUUGUGAUACAUAUGGGGAUUCUCAUCUUUCCUGCAGCCUCAGGGUCACUACCACAGAGCUUAUUAUUUCCUGUAAGAGAAAGCCAGGUAAGGUUCAUGAAAACACCUUUUCUUGGAACUGGUCCUCCCAAGUCAUUGAAAGACAAAUUUAAGAUCUGCAAAUACAAAAGAUCCUGUAACUCUUCGGGGAUUUGUCCAGUCAGACUGUUGGAAGAAAGAUCCAUGCUCUCUAAUGCUAUUAAUUUACCCAUCGACACUGGUAUGGCCCCUGAGAGUUUGUUUGUGGCAAUAUUAAAACUACGCAGACUUAAGCAAGAACCAAUUGUCGUUGAAAUAUUUCCUGACAGCUGGUUAUUAGAAGCAUCCAGGACCUCAAGGUGUUCCAAACUUUCAACUAGGGCGGGCAGAGAACCACUUAGUUCAUUAUGCGCCAAAUAUAUCUCGAUUAUAUCAAGAAGUCUGAAAAUCUCCUUGGGUAUGCUACCAUUGACCCUGUUCUGUCUUAGACCCAGUCUCUUUAAAUUCUUGCACUCUCCAAUACUUGUGGGGAUUCUACCAGAGAACUGGUUGUACCCCAUUGUCAGCAAAAAGAGUCGUGUAAGAUUGCCAAAGUUAUCUGGAAUUUCUCCGGAUAACAUAUUAUUAUCAACCAAUAAUCUCUGUAGUUGCUGAAGUUUUCCUAGGGAAUUUGGUAUCAUACCUGUGAAAAGAUUUUGGUGUAUGUCCAAGGCCCAGAGAUUUUGAAAUCUUUCAAAUCCUUGGGGAAUUCUACCAGUCAGAAAAUUGCUGCCAAUGCAAAAUUCAAGGAGAUGAGUAGAAAGAUUCGCAACUGAAGUUGGAAGUUCACCAGCUAGCUGGUUAUCAUUAAGAUAUAGAAACUCCAACUGUGUAGAGUUUGCUAGUGAAUUAAAUACCUGAAGAUUAAGCUUGGUGGUGGAAGAGAGAUUAUUCAGGCCAAGAUGUAGGAGUCUAAGAUUAUUCAUGUUACCAAGUAGAGGAACUGGCCCUUGAAAGUGGUUUGAAGAAAAGUCUAGGACUUGAAUUUGUGAAGCAUUAGAGAAAGAACUGGGAAUUGGCCCUUCCAGCUGGUUAUGUGCUAGGUAGACUUCUGCCAGGUUUGGAAGUGCAAGGCCCAUAUCAGUUGGUAGUUCUCCAACAAGCAUAUUUUCUGCUACAGAUAAGUAGAUCAAAGAAGAGAUGUUGUAGAUGGAAUAAGGGAUCUUUCCCUCAAACUGAUUCUCUGAGAGCUGAAGUCUUUGAAGAUUAUGGAGAUGACCCAGCUCAUUUGGGAUUUUGGCGAAGAAUUGGUUUCUUGCUAGGCUGAGAACAGUAAGAGAGGUGAGGUUUCCAAAUUUUGGAGCGAUUACACCUGUAAGGUUAUUCGCUGCAACGUCAAGAAUUCUGAGUCUCGGCAGAUCUCCAAGUUCAGAUGGAAGGUUCCCAAUAAGUUGGUUGUGCUCAAAAUAAAUCUCCUCAAGGUUAUAACAAUGAGAAAGACCAACUGGAAUUCUACCAUUAAUGGAGUUUCUUGCAAGGUUAAUAUUCUGAAGGAGUGACAGAUGGCUAAAAUCCAGUUGAAGUUGGCCAUAAAAUGAAUUGUUGGAAAGAUCUAGCAAUUGGAGGGAAGUGAGGUUAGAGAGUCGAGGGUGUAUCAUACCAGAGAGCCCAUAACCAGCAAGACGAAGUGACAGAACUCUAGUUCCGUUGUUGGCACAAGUGACGCCAAACCAAGUGCAGUGAGAUGAAUUCAGGCUCCACCCAGAAAGAACAUUUUGGGAGUCAGAGACUAUGGACUUGAAAGAUAGAAGUGCGAGAGUAUCUGUAUCUGUAUCAGCAUCAAUAGCCCCUACCCUGUUCGUGCUGCAAUAUGGAAUAAUUUGAAAGGGGAGGAGGACAACCAAUGAGAAAUAGAGAUGUUUCUUCAUUUUUGAAAGAAUGGUCAUUGAAUUCAAGAUUUGCAGUCUAUAUUUUAGCUGCCAGCACAUGUUAAGGCCUGAUGUGUGUAGGAGGAUAACCAUUGAAAAGUUGAAUUCAAUUAUCAAACAAGGGCAAAUUAUUUAUUAAUCAGCCCCUGUUAAGAGCAAUGUAACUUCCUCCUAACCAUGUCUCCUGACAAGAUAUGAAAAUGACCUUAAAUUUAUAUAAUUAUUUUCCAGACCUAGCUUCUGUCUUAUUCUUCAUCCUCAGAUUCCAUAAUGAGGGAAAUGCCAUUUUUCUGUAUUAAGUAUCAAGAGGGAGAGUCGAGUUAGCAGCAGUGGAUGGCUGAAAUCAUUUGAUCAAUUCUGAUUUCUGCAAAAGAAACAGAAAUCUGUUGAUUAAUUGGUCGAUUGUGCUCCCUUUUCUCUUACUAUGCAGGGUAUACUAGAGAACAAUGACCUCUGGUGCAUAGUUUACCCUUUCAGAUAUUGUUAGGAGGAAGAUACCACUGCAACUAGUAUAGAAAGAGGGUGACAAGCUAGACUGAUAGUCCUUUGACUUUUUUGUUAGAAUGCCUGAGAAAUGUUAUAAAAAAGCAUGUUAUAAUAAUCCCAAAUGCUGUCAAAGAAAAACAAAUCUGAAAGUUUCUAGCUGGAUUGAAUAGUCGAUGGAUUCAUAUCAAUGGCAUUAUUUCUUAAAAUUUUUCCAAGGAGAAUGUACUUGAUCCAAGUGCUAUACGAAGAAUAAAUUUAGCUUUUAAUUUCUAUAAGACUACUAAUUUGAGAUCUGUCGAAAAUAGCUGUCUGCCUAAAUGGAUUGAUCUCAAGACAAAACAAUUAAUCCUUUUCAACAGUUGACUGUGAUCCCUCCUCCCCUUGGUUGCCAUCUCAUUUUCUUGCCAACAUUUCUCUCUCUAUUGUUCAACUUCUAAGUCAGUAAGAGGCAGAGAGAAGUAGGUAUGAAUUCUCUCUAUUCUAGACAUUUAUUUGAUUGUCUCCCACAUUUGGGAUUUGUCUUCCAUUCUGACGAUGUUCAUGACUCUUCAUUUAUGGAUUUGAGCCUUUUCGAGUAUCUGCCUGUCUCUUAUUAUAUCACUUUAUCUACACCAUCCUCACCCACAUCACAGAUAUUUGAUAUAGAUCAUGAGAUUGCACAACAUGAUUCAGAUGAUGACUUGUUUCCUAAUUAUGAUUCAGACCCCAUUGAUCAAAGAGUUUCACCUGCUAUAGAGGACACAUAGGUUGUUGAUUUUGGCAUAGCAGAUCAACCUAGGGAGUUAAGGAUCGGAUCGAAUUUAUCUGCAGAUGAGAUAGACAACCUUAUCUAGUUGCUCAUAUCGUAUUUGAACGUUUUUGCAUGGUCUUAUGAGGACAUGUCGGGCCUUGAUCCAUCUAUUGUCCAACAUUGUUUGCCACUUCUGCCCUAUGCCAGACUGGUUAAGUAGAAGUUGAGACAAUUGCACCAUUGCUGGAGCUUGCAAGUGAAAGAGGAGAUUCAGAAGCAACUCAGUGUAGGAUUUUUAUUAGUGGUUGAGUAUCCUGAGUGGCUAGCUAAUGUUGUCCUUGUUCCCAAAAAAGAUGUCAAGGUGAGAGUUUGUGUUGAUUUCCAAGAUCUCAACAAGGCUAAUCCUAAGGAUGAUUUUCCUCUCCCACAUAUCGAUAUGCUAGUUGACAGUAUGACAGGUCAUUCGAUGUUGUCCUUUAUGGAUGAAUUUUUCGGGUACAGUCAAAUCCUGAUGGCUUUAAAGGACAUGGAGAAGACGUCCUUCAUUAUCGAGUGGAGUACUUAUUGCUACCAAGUCAUGUCAUUCGGGUUGAAGAAAGCAGGAGCUAGUUAUUAGAGAGCAGCGACCACCCUCUUCCAUGACAUGAUGCAUCGAGACGUCGAGGUUUAUGUAGAUGACAUGCUAGUGAAAUCCCGAGAUAGAAUAGACCACCUAGCAGCCUUGGAGAGAUUCUUUGAGAGGAUCAGGCAGUUCAGAUUGAGACUAAAUCCCAAGAAGUGCACUUUUGGAGUGACUUCUGGGAAGCUACUAGGAUACAUGGUCAGUGAGAGAGGCAUAUAGGCAGAUCCAGAUAAGAUUAAAGCCAUCCUUGACAUGCCUGUACCAAGGAUCGAGAGAGAUAUCAGAGGCUUCUUGCGUAGACUUCAGUACAUCAGGCGAUUCAUCGCCAGAUUGACAGACAUCUAUGAACCCAUUUUCCGACUCUUGAGGAAGAGUCAACAUACUGUUUGGGAUGAUCAGUGCUAAAGCGCAUUUGAGAGGAUCAAAGAGUAUUUAUUGUCUCUUCCAGUCUUGGUGCCUCCUACACUAGGUUAUCCUUUACUCUUAUACCUGUCGGUCUUAAACGUAGCCUUGGGAUGCAUGUUAGCUCAGCUCGAUGAUUCGGGUAAGGAGUGAGCUAUUUACUAUUUGAGUAAGAGGAUGCUAGAUUACGAGAUGAGAUAUGUCAUGAUUGAGCGCUACUGCUUGGCAUUGGUUUGGGUCAUUCGCAGACCGAGACACUACAUGACCGAGUAUUCGGUACACUUGAUAUCCCGUCUAGAUCCACUGAGAUAUUUGUUUGAUAGGCUCGCUUUGGUCGGACGACUUAUGAGAUGAUUGGUACUUUUGACUGAGUUCGACAUUCAUUAUGUCACUCGAAAGUCUAUCAGAGGGAGCAUUGUUGCAGAUCAUUUAGCCUCAUUACCAGUUUCUGAUGGUAAAACCAUUGAUGAUGAUUUCCCGGAUGAGGAUGUUGCUGUUGUGACUAGUUUGUCGGGUUGGUGCAUGUAUUUUGAUGGUGCGGCCAACCAUUCUGGAUACGGGAUAGGUGUUUUUUGAUAUCUCCUCAUGGUGACCACAUUCCUAGAUUUGUUCGUUUGACAUUCUUGGAUCGACAUCCUGCCACGAACAAUAUUGUUGAGUAUGAGGCUUGUAUCUUGGGAUUAGAGACAUCUCUUGAGCUCAGGAUUAGACAGAUGGAGGUGUUUGGUGACUCCAAUAUGGUAUUGAGACAGAUUUAGGGCAAGUGGAAGACUAGAGAUGUGAAGCUUAGACCUUACCAUGCAUACUUAUAGCUACUGGUUGGGAGAUUUGAUGAUUUGAGGUACACACAUCUGCCUAGAGCGCAAAACCAGUUUUCAGAUGCCUUAGCUACACUAGCUUUCAUGAUUGAUAUUCCUACCAAGGCUACUGUUUGCCGUUUACUGAUCGAGUUGAGAUUUGUUCCUACCUACUGUUGCUUGAUUGAUGAGGCAGAGUUUGAUGAUGGCUUACCUUGGUACCAUGACAUAUACCAGUUUCUGUGACUUAGUGCAUAUCCUGAGACUGCCACAACCAAGGAUAAGAGAACAUUGAGACAAUUGGCCACUCGAUUUGUGAUUCGUGGAGAGACAUUGUACAGACGAUCAGCUGAUGAGAUGUUAUUAUUGUGCUUAGACCAUGCCUCUGCCGAUCGAGUGAUGAGAGAGGUUCAUGCGAGAGUCUGUGGACCACAUAUGAGAGGGCACAUGUUAGCCCGUAAGAUCAUGAGGAUUGGAUAUUUCUGGUUGACCAUGGAGACAGAUUGUUGCCAGUUUGUUCAGAGAUGUCCAUAGUGCCAGAUACAUGGGGACCUCAUUCAUUUACCCCCUUCAGAGUUACAUGCACUAACUUUGCCAUGACCAUUUUUAGUAUGGGGCAUAGACAUUAUUGGGGUCGUUAGUUUCAUCAAAUCACACAUUAUUUGUUGCCAUGGAGUUCCUCAUGAGUUGAUUUCAGAUAGAAGAGUACAUUUCAGAGUAGAUGUCGACACUUUAUUAUAGAGAUACGGUAUCCAGCAUUACAUAUCGUCUGCGUAUAGGUCGCAAACUAAUGAGGCUAUAGAGGCUGCGAAUAAGAAUAUUAAGAGGACCUUACGGAGGAUAGUUGAGACUUCUUGGGAUUGGUCAGAGAAGCUCCUUUUCGCAUUGUAGGCUUAUCGGACUUCUUUUCGCACCUCUAUAGGAGCCACACCCUACUCUUUAGUGUAUGGUAUUGGAGCAGCAGAUUCCAAAGGCAGAUUGGGCUCAGGCUCGAUUAGACCAACUCAAUCUCCUAGAUGAGAGGAGAUUGAGGGCAGCAGACCAUGUUCAUGCUUAUAAGAGGAAGAUGACCCGUGUAUUAAAAAAACAGGUUAAGCCUAGAUCGCUAUAGAAAGGUGACUUGGUUCUAGAGAUCAUCAGGGGAUUGAUCAGAGAUCCUAGAGGAAAGUUCAGACUCAAUUGGAGCGGACCUUACUUCAUUAGGAAGUUGACCCUAGAGGGCGCUGCAUGGUUGAUGGAUUUAGAUGGAAACCGAUUCUCGGAGCCAACUAACGUAGAUCAGUUGAAGAAAUAUUAUGUUUGAGACCAUGGUCAUAGGAUGGGUAACCAUCAUUUCGGUUAGCCAUAUACCUUGUUAUUCUCUUUUGAUAUACAGACCGUUGUUAGCCCAUUGAGCCUCGCAUGUGCAUUAUAAUCUUUCUUUCUUAUUGGCUUGCUCACUUUUUUUUUUUUUUUUUUUGCGUCAGGAUAGGGGCCCUUUAGUGUAGGCAUGCAUUGUUUGAGAGUCUCAUGAGUCUUGGACCUACAGGUGCAUCUUUCUCUCAUUAUUUUUCCUACCAUCACUUUACUGCAUUCCAUCUUAUCUCAUUGGUUGUGUCCUUCAUCUCUUCUUUUUUAUUCUAUCCAUUGCUUGUUUUUCUUCAUAUUCUCUCCACCUUGAGUGGUGAUCUUCCUCAAUUCAUUACAUGGAGGAUAGUCACAUCAUUUCCACUAUCUAUCAUACAGACACUAAUUUAGAGAUCCUUAAUUUGAGAAGAUCAUCUCGUUAGAGAGAGUUUUUGUUGCACUCGAGAGUGUGUCUAUCCUUUAUUGAUAUCAUCUUUGGGGUUCAUUUGUUUAUGUUCAGGGUAUGUGCAUUUGUAUGUAUGUAAAAAAAGAAAAAAGAAAAGAAAAAUAAGCACAUGUGUGUAUGUGUAUAGUAUUCUCCAUCAUUGAGCGUGUAUAUUGAUAUCUGAGGGUCAUUUUAUCGAGUAUGUUUGUUGUUGAGAGUUUGUAUGUGAGCUUUCUGAGAUCAUCUUUUCUUUGCAUCCACUUUGUCAUAUUUCUUUGAGAGUGAGAUGAGUAACCUUCUCCUAGGGACUCUAGGUCAUUGUCAUUUCCAUCAUUACAUUCAUUAUUGAUGUGACUUCACUCCAUGUUUGAUUUGAGUUGAUCAUCACUUUUAUUCGUAUAUUCAUUGUUUCGCUCUCAUCUUCAUCAUUGCUUGUGAUUCAUCCUCUUCGCUUCACCCCCUUGUUCUUUUCCUACACUGACUUAUUCCAGAUUUGAUAUUUCCCUGGCAUCAUUCUUGCGCAUCUCAUUAUCAGUUUGAUUUGCUUCAUCGUCUCAUUAUUGAUAUUAUAUUCACGUUAGGCACCUUCAAGUUCAUGGCUCACGAGAUUUUCUAUACAUGUUGCAUUUCAUACAUGAGGGCAUGAGUUUUGAUCAUUGGGUAUUUGGGCCUAGUUUCCUUUCUUUUCUAUUACCCUAUCACCCUAGCCUAUGUUACGUCCCAUGUCUUAAGACCACCCUGAGGCCAUGGGAUCAGAUGUCAUCUUCAACAACCCCUACUUGGACAGGUGUUUGAGAUUUGGUUGAUAUUUAGAUAUAGUCAUGCUUCUUCUUCUGAGAAAAGCCUCUUUGAUGUUUGGAUCUAAUUUAGCUAUGGAUUUGGAUGAUUGGGAUCACACAUUUGAUGAUGGAUGAUUUGAUGUUUUCCUAUUUUUUUGAUUUGCCAUACAUCUGAUAUCAUACUUGGGCAUAUUCCAUUACGAUUGAGAUUUAUAGAUCUUCAUGGAGUUGCAUGCUUAUCCCCACUUACGAGAUACACAUUGAGACGAUGACCUAUUUGUUAUCUUAUCAUGAUUCUUUGGUGGAGCCUCUUUAAGUCAAACCCACACUUUUCGGCCUUUAGAUGUCAUCGUACUUCUUCUUCUAGAACACGCCUUAUUUGAUCAUUGGAUUCAAUUCAGCUAUGGAUUUGGAUAAUUGGGAUUGCAUAUUAUGAUGGAUGACCCGAUGUUGUCUGAUUUUUUGAUCUACCAUACAUUUGAUGCCAUAUUAGGGCAUAUUUCAGUUUCGAUUGAGAUUUACAAAUCUUUAUGGAGUUGCAUACUUAUCCCCAUUUACGAGAUACAUGCCGAGACGAUGACCUGCUUGUUAUUUUAUCAUGAUUCCCCAGUGGAGUCUUUCUUAGACCAUUCAAUUAGGCUCACACUUUUCAGUAUUUAGAUAUUAUCAUGCUUCUUCUUUUAGAAGACAUCUUCUUGAUGUUUAGGUUUAAUUCAAUUGUGGAUUUGGGUGACAGAGAUCACACAUUGAUGAUGGAUGAUUUGAUGUUGUCCGAUUUUCGGCUUAUUCCACAUCUGAUUCCAUACUAGGGCAUAUUUCCAUUUCGAUUGAGAUUUACAGAUCUUCAUGGAGUCACAUGAUCAUCCCCACCUACGAGAUACACGUCAAGACGAUGACCUAUUUGUUAUCUUAUCAUGAUCCCCCAAUGGAGCCUCUCUGGAGCCAUCUAAUCAGACCCAUAUUUUUCGGCAUUUGGUUGUCAUCAUGUUUCUCCUUCUGGGGUACACCUUUUGAUAUGUGGGUCCGAUUCAGUUAUGGACGUAGAUGACUAGGAUUGCAUAUUCGAUGGUGGAUGAUUUGAUAUCAUCUGGUUUUCCGACCUAUCACACAUUUGAUGCCAUAUUGGGGCAUAUUUCCGUUUUGGUUGAGAUUUGUAGAUCUUCAUUGAUUUGCAUGAUCGUCCCUAGUCACGAGAUACAUGCCAGGACGAUGGUUUGCUUUCAUUUUGUCUUGAUUCUCCAAUGAAGCCUUUCUUGAGUCAUUCAAUCAGGCUCAUAUUUUCUUAUAUUGUCAUGAUUCUUAGAUGGAGUUAUCUUAAGUGCAUAGACUCCCACGUCAUCAUUUCGGUGGAGUACAUGUCAGAUCUCUUAUACAUCCCCCAUUGAGUUAUUCUCGAGUUAUCAGGAUAGACCGGAUGCCUUAGUCACUAUACUGGGGCAUAUUUCUUUUCUUUUUUUUAGCCGUGGAGAUGAUUGUUUUCUCACAGACUUGUUACGGUCUUCAUCACUCGACCGAGGAAUAUUUAUUUGCGUUACUGCUCAUUGUUUCAAUGUUUUUGUCGAGAUAAGCCUCCAAAGGAGCACAACCUUCAGGUUUUGGCUGUCUCACUAUCCAUGACUCUUUCAUAGGUUGUUAUGUUGAGGUCGCAGUAGUUACCCCAGCGGACUAUCCUCUUGAGACCCCUAGUGGAUCAUUAAUUUAAGAUGACGAUGGACUCCUCCAACAGAACAUUUUAAGUUAGAGGUGCUUGACUUAUUGUGACACAUUAUCAGGCCUCGUGAUUUAGUUGGAUGGAUUGUGAGGUCGUACUUAUCAUCGAUUUGAUCAUUCUGACUCGCUAGCGAUCUUUUAAGACUCAUGGAGUCUUUUUCAAACCCUUUCAUUAAAUUAAGAGUUGUGGCGGCACGCUACAUUGAAACAUAUUUCUCUUCUCAUCAUUUCCUUGCAAUUCGGCAUUCAGAGCCGCCAUCUCUUCUCGGUUAUGACGUUCAGAGUCGUCUUUCUCAAUUUGACAUUCAGAGAUGUCAGUUCUCAGGUUUGACGUUUAGAGCCUUCAUCAUUUCCAGUUCAGUGUUCAAAGUUAUGUUUUCGGUUUGGCGUUCAGAGUCGCAUAUCCAGUUUGGCGUUUAAAGCCACCAUCUCUUCUCAGUUACAACGUUCAGAGUCGUCUUUCUCAAAUUGACAUUCAGAGACAUCAAUUCUUAGUUACGGCGUUCAGAGCCUUCAUCAUUCUUAGUUCGGCAUUUAGAACCAUGUUUUCGAUUUGGUGUUCAAAGCCACCAUCUCUUCUUAGUUACGACGUUCAGAGUCGUCCUUCUCAGUUUGACAUUCAGAGAUGUCGGUUCUCAGUUACGGUAUUCAGAGCCUUCAUCAUUCUCAAUUCGACAUUCAGAGCCAUAUUUUCGGUUUAGCGUUCAGAGUCGCAUCUCCAGUUUGGAGUUCAGAGCCACCAUCUCUUCACAAUUACGACAUUCAGGGUCGUAUUUCUCAGUUUGACAUUCAGAGACAUCAUUCUCAGUUACGGAUUUCAGAGCCUUCAUCCUUCUCAACUUGGCGUUCAAAGCCAUGUUUUUUAUGUGGUGUUCAAAGCUGCAUCUCCAGUUUAACAUUCAGAGCCGCAUCUCUAGUUUGGCGUUCAGAGCCAUCUCUUCUCAGUUACAAUGUUCAGAAUCGUCCUUCUCAGUUUGACAUUCAGAGAUGUCAGUUCUCAGUUAUGGUGUUCAGAGCCUUCAUCCUUCUCAGUUUGGUGUUCAGAGCCAUGUUUUCAGUUUAGCGUUCAGAGCCGCAUCUCCAGUUUGACGUUCAGAGCCGUAUCUCCAAUUUGGUGUUCAAAGCCACCAUCUUUUCUCAGUUAUGAUGUUCAGAGUCGUCAUUCUCAAUUUAACAUUCAGAGAUGUUAGUUCUCAGUUACGACGUUCAGAGCCUUCAUCCUUCUCAGUUCGACGUUCAGAGCCGCAUCUCCAAUUUGACGUUUAGAGCCACAUUUCCAAUUUGGCGUUCAAAGCCACCAUUUCUUCUCAGUUAUGACGUUCAAAGUCGUCCUUCUUAGUUUGACAUUCAAAGAUGUUAGUUCUCAAUUACGACAUUUAGAGCCUUCAUCCUUCUCAGUUUGGCAUUCAGAGCCAUGUUUUCGAUUUGGAGUUUAGAGCCAGAUCUCCAGUUUGACGUUCAAAGCCGUAUCUCUAAUUUGGCAUUCAAAGCCUUCACCUUCUUCAGUUUGGCGUUUAGAGCCAUCAUAUCUUCUUGGUUACGACGUUCAAAGUCGUCCUUUUCAGUUUGACAUUCAGAUAUGUCAGUUCUUAGGUUUGGCAUUUAGAGCUUUCAUCCUUCUCAGUUUUGCAUCCAAAGCCAUGUUUUCGGUUUACCGUUCAGAGCUGCAUCUCCAAUUUGGUGUUCAGAGCCACCAUUUCUUUUCAGUUAUGACAUUCAAAGUUGUUCUUCUUAGUUUGAUGUCCAAAGAUGUCAGUUCUCAGUUACGGCGUUCAGAGCCUUCAUCUUUCUCAAUUCGGCGUUCAGAACCAUGUUUUCGAUUUGGUGUUCAGAGCCGCAUCUCCAGUUUAGCGUUCAGAGCCACUAUCUCUUUCUAGUUUGAUGUUUAGAGCUACCAUCUCCACCAUAUCUCUCAUAGUUUGGCAUUUAGAGCCACAUUUUUAGUUUGGCAUUCAGAGCCAUUGUUUAUUCCUAGUUCAGCAUUCAAGGUCAUCAUGUCUUUCUUCCUAUUGGAGUUCAGAGCCAUCAUUUAUUCCAGUUUAGGCAUUUAGAGUCAUCUCUCCUAGUUUAGGAGAGUCGUUCGUUUUAGUUUUGGCGUUCAGAGCCGUUGUGCAAUCAAGCAUUUGGAGUCACCAUAUUUCCUUCUUUUGGUGUUCAAAGUCAUUUUUCCUCAGCCUUGUCAUCUAUAGUCAUGGCUCCUGGCAUUCAUAUUCACUAGCAUUGCACAUCUUGCCUUCACAAUUUUACAUUCGUCUUCAUUUUCCUCACCUCGUUUCCUUGUGUUUAUUGCUUGUUCAUCAUGCUCUUCUAGACUUCUCUUUCCACUGCACAUGACAUAGUCCUUUGAGUUCAUGGCACAUAUUUCGGUCAUGUUGCUAGGCCCCCUACACUUAACGUUCUCAUGUAGUUCGCAUAGGGCAGUCCCCUUUGGACGCAUUCUUUCCUAUACCCCAAGGUGGUUUGACCGUUACUCAUAUCUGACAUUGAUCUUCGAGUCACUUCUGGAGACAUCUUAGAGAAAGUCUAGGUUCAUAGUGCAACUUUAGAGGCACUCUGAGAGCUACCCUUCUCUUAGGAUUUUAGACCAUUUUUGUUCCUUUAUUGGUUUGAGCGAGUUUGUGUUCUACUUGUGCCAUAUUAGGGGUCUUUCUUUUUCUUUGGUAGAGUCCACUUCAUUUCAUUCACUAUUUACACUUUUUUUUUUCACUCUAGUGUUCAUAUUUCUUACACUCGUGAACUUUAUUGAAGAGGGGCAUAUUUUUAGACCUUUUUUUUUAAACUAAAGUUUUUUUUUUCUCUUUUUAUUUUUUACCACCCGGGAGGAGUUGGAGAGCAUUUCAUUUGAAGUGGGGGACAGUUUCCAUGAAGCUCCAUGCAUGGACGUGUGGCUGGGACCACCACCUUGCCAUGGUGGUGGUUGAGAUGGGACUUCUUUUGAGCAAGGAGCAGUGGUACGGGUGGGGUUGGUAGAAGCUUGAGAGGAAGGAAAACAGGAGAAAAUUUGGAGGCAACUUGAGAAAAAUGGAGGAAUGAGAAGGGAAGCUUGAGGAAAAAAAAUGAGUAGAGACCGUUUUGGCUUGAGAAUGAGAACCAACUGAGAAUAAAGUGAGAGAGAACGGGGUUAAAAAAAAAGGGGAGAGGGGGGGGGGGGGGGGGGGGGGGUUAAAGACCCCGGUAAGACCGUUUUUUUUUUUAAAGGGGCCAAAAAAAAAGUUGCCCUGGGCCUGGGGAAAGGGGCCCCCGAAAAAAAAAAAAGGGGCGGGGGCCCUAACCCCAAAUUUCCCUUUUAAAGGGAAAACCUCCCGGGAGGGCCCUCUUGGGUUCCCUUUUUUUUUUUUUUUUUUUUCCGGUGGGCCCCCCCCCCUUUUUUGGGAUUCCCCCCUUGGCGGGGGGGGCCCGAGGGGGGGGUAAUAUUGGGUUAAAAAUUUCCUUUCUUUUUUUUUCCCAAAAAAAAAAACCCNNNNNNNNNNNNNNNNNNNNNNNNNNNNNNNNNNNNNNNNNNNNNNNNNNNNNNNNNNNNNNNNNNNNNNNNNNNNNNNNNNNNNNNNNNNNNNNNNNNNGGGGGGGGGGGAGGUUAAGGAACCAUGAGAGAGCUGAGUUUAAUUUAAAGGAGACAAAAAGAGAGUUGCAAUGGAGCUGGAGAGAUGGCGCACGGAAACAAGAAGAAGGAGCAGUGAGCUGAAGCCUAAAAUUCCUUGUUAGAGGGAAGAUCUUCAGGUAUGGCCAUUAUGGGUUUCCUUUUUUUGUUUUUUAUUUUUCAUGUUGAUCCUGCUUCAUUCUUUGUGAUUUCCACAUUGCUUGUUGGGUUCGUAUGGUUUGGUUAUUAUUGGUUUAAUAUUUCAUUUUCUUUUUUAUUCCAAUAAAGAGAUACCUGAAUGUGCUUCAAUUUGUCGUUUCAUUUGUAAGGAGCUUGCUGCUUUAUUCUGAAAACCUUUUCCAUAGCUCAAUCCACUAAUUGUUAAACCUAUGGAUAAAAUAACAAAAUGGGUUCAACAUAUUGGUUAAGUGUUUUAUGCUUUAUUCUUGCUUCUCCUCUCAUGCUCCUCUGUUUUCCUAUGAAUGUGCGCCCCAAACCUUAGAAUCCAUAUAUCCUUGAAGGUCUCUGGCAAAUCAACUGAAAAUGAAAACACAAAAAAAAAAUUAGAAUUUUUCGAAAUGUUUAUGCAUUGUUUUUUUAAAAAAAAAUUAUUUUGGGGCGUCGAGUAUGCACGGAUCUGGAGCUGUGAUGGCUUGGAACGUUCUACACAACCUUAAGGAGCCUUGGCCCGAUCAUGAUCCUCUUGAUCCUUUGACAAGGUUAGAUUUUGGUGUUUCACCAGUUGAUGCUUCAAAACAGAGGGUUUGGUGUUGUAAAAAAUGCAGCUAGAUGAAACUACCUCGCUGCCACCAGCGUUCUGUUUAUGGGAGAUGUAUUGAAGAUGGACCAUCAUUGUUUUUGGGUUGUGAAUUGUGUUGGGGCUUUGAACGACAAAUAUUUCCUUCUUUUCUUGUUUUACACGUCUCUUGAAACAAGCCUUGUGACUUCAUCAUUACUACCACAUUUUAUAGCUAUCAUUAUUACCACAUUUUAUAGCCAUCAUUACUACCACAUUUUAUAGCAUUCUUUAUUGAGGGAGAAAUACCUGGAACACCUUGCACCUCGGGCCUCGCUUUUACAUGGCUACCCUCAUGUACCACUAACAAAACCUACCUGCUAGCAAAUCUCAUAUUUUUUAAUUCUUCAAUAUCAAAGUUUAAUUUAUUUUUUUUAAACGCCAAUUCUUAAAUUUAAAUUUCAAAAUUCCAAUUCUCAAAUAAUUUUAAAAAUUUCAAUUUCUUUCAAAUUUAAUUUCCGAAACGCCAAUUCUUAAAUUUAAUUUUCAAAAUUUCAAUUCUCAAAUAAUUUUCAAAAUUCCAAUUUCUUUCAAAUUUAAUUUCUGAAACUCCAAUUCUUAAAUUUAAUUUUCAAAACUCUAAUUCUCAAAUAAUUUUCAAAAUUCCAAUUUUCAAAUUUAAUUUCCGAAACUCCAAUUCUUACAUUUAAUUUUCAAAACUCCAAUUCUCAAAUAAUUUUUAUUAUUCUAAUUUCUUUCAAAUUUAAUUUUCGAAACUCCAAUUCUUACAUUUAAUUUUCAAAACUCAAAUUCUCAAAUAAUUUUCAAAAUUCCAAUUUCUUUCAAAUUUAAUUUCCGAAACUCCAAUUCUUAGAUUUAAUUUUCAAAAUUUCAAUUAUUAAAUGAUUUUCAAAAUUUCAAUUUGUUUCAAAUUUAAUUUUUGAAACUUCAAUUCUUAAAUUUAAUUUUCAAAAUUUCAAUUCUCAAAUAAUUUUCAAAAUUCUAAUUUCUUUCAAAUUUAAUUUCCGAAACUCCAAUUCUUAAAUUUAAUUUUCAAAAUUUCAAUUCUCAAAUAAUUUUCAAAAUUUCAAUUUUUUUUCAAAUUUAAUUUCCAAAACUCCAAUUCUUAAAUAUAAUUUUCAAAACUCCAAUUCUCAAAUAAUUUUCAAAAUUCCAAUUUCUUUCAAAUUUAAUUUUCAAAAUUCUAAUUUCUUUCAAAUUUAAUUUCCAAAAUUCUAAUUCUUAAAUAUAAUUUUCAAGACUCCAAUUUUUAAAUAAUUUUCUAGACUUCAAUUUUCAAAUAGAUUUAAAAAAUCUAGUUUUCUUUCGAGCCAUUUUAAUUUCACUCCAGUUUUCAAAUAUAUUUUUUUUAUUCUACAACUCUCCAUCCUUUAUUAGGGUUUUUUUUUAGGUCGUCAAAAAUUCUGAUUUUAAUAAGUUUGCUACCAUUUUCAUUUUGGUAUGCACUUGUACAAAUUUUCUUCGAUUUUCAAAUAAUCUUCUGUUUAUCUUAAUUUUAAAUAAGCAAGAAUGAAUUUUUCCUAAUUCCAAAAUAAUGGAAUUUGUGAGACUAAUUCAUGCAAGAUAAAUUGGGCUUUGGUGGGAGCCCCACAUAUGAGUUUUCUCUUCUGAUUGUCAAUUGUUAUACUUAAUGAAUAUUGUUUGAUCUUUAUCUUGCUCUUUGAUAUGCAUGUGAUAAUUUUAUAAUUGAGCUAACCUUGUUUCCAUGAUAACGCACUAUUACUUGUCGCUAAGGUACAAUCUCACUCUCACUUUGCUUAUUCUUAUGCACGAUUCAUUUUAUUAUUUGAUCAUUUCAUUGGUAUCCAUUACUUUCCUUAUCAAUUGCCAUAUUUGUCUCACCUUAUUUAAUAGAGACCCAUUUUUAAGGGCUUAGAGGGGUGCUACGGUCUUUACCAUACCUUCCCAAUAAGUAACCUGACCCCCGAACCCAGACUCGGUUUUUCAUAAACUUGUCUUUUCCAAAUAAGGAGUCACACUUAGAGUUUUCUUUUUUAUUUUGUUUUCCCUUAAAAAAAUAAAACAAAAAUAAGUGGUGAAUCCAAGUUUUUUCUAAAAAUCAAAAUUUUCACAAAUAAAUAGAAAACGAGUUUCACCAUUGAGUAGGAACGCAUCGAGAAAAAUGCGGGGUCCAUAAGAGGUUUCACCAAUUCCCCAGUUGGUAUACACAAAUCUAGCUUAGGAUCAUCCCAUUUAUUUGGGACCACAAGCUUUGAUUCGUAUUCCAUUCGAAAUCGGAAUUUUUAUUGAAAACCGAGAAAGAUGCAAACUGAUCAAAACAUGGUCUCAUAUUUUUAAAGAAAAUGAGAUUUUGAUUCUAAAGACUCUAAAUGAAAUUUAAAAAAAAAAAAAAGAUUUUCAAAGGGAUCUUUUGAGAAAAGUGUUUUGUUUUAAAAAUAAACAAAAAGAACUAGCAUAAGAUCACACAAACACAUCUAGACUGAAAAGAUAACUUAAAAUUGAACUAAAUUGGAAUUAGAAACAUAAACUUUAUCUAACAUGAUUAAAUGAACUAUUGGAUCAAAAUCACCAACACAUCUAAACUAAAGAAUAAAUUAAGAUUAAACUAUUUGGAAUUAAAGACAUGGACUUUAUCUAAUAGGUUUAUUUAAACUAAUGAAUUAAAAUCACUAACACACUUAAACUAAAAGAUAGGUUAAAAUUAAAUUAAUUAAGAACUAAAAAAUGUAAACUUUAUCUAACAGGAUUAUUUAAAAUAAGGAAUUAACAUCACAAAGACAAUUAAAUUAAGAGAAUAAAUUGUAACUAAACUAAACCAGAAUUUAAACAAAAACAUGAUAUCUAAUAGGAUUAAUUAAUCUUAAGAAUCAAAACUUCAAAUAUAUCUGAAUUAAAAAAUAAACUAAAAUUAAACUAAAUUGGAAUUUAAAAAAAACCAUGAAAUUUAUCUAACAAAAUUAAUCAAACAAAUGAAUUAAAAUCAUAAACACAUCCAAAUUAAAAAUAAAAUAAAAUUAAAUUAAAUUAAAACUAAACUAAAUCGGAUUAAAAAAAAAAAAAACUGGAACUCACCUAUCCCGUAUCAUUGAUACCCUCCUGAAUGCAUGCCUGUUGUGCGUGUUUCAGAAAAUCAUCUCUUAGUGUGUGGCUGUAUGUGACAGCCAUCCUAAAAGCAUGGAGUGGACUGGGCUUAUGGCAGCAUGUUGUCCCCUCGUUAGUAGCAUGUCUUCUCCAUUAGCUUGGUGGUAUUCCAUGUGGUUCCUUUCAUGUGGUUGUGUGAGUGGUCUUCUGGGUGGGCUAUCCGUGGCUACGUAACAUGAAGAAAGGUGGUUGUUUUUCCACUGAAUGGCUUGUAAUCCUCUAUAUAUGAGUGACGACAUUCUCGUAUGUGUGUAUUGUCAACCUAGUUUCGGUAUUUACAAUGCCUUAGAACCUUGGUGUGAUGAAUGGGAGACAACCCUUACUAGAUGGUGGCAUGGGAAGUGGAGGUUUGAGCUAUGUUGAUUGCGCUGGGUUUAAUAUCUCUACAUCUCAUGUAAGUCAGAAACUAUCCAGGUAGCUCUUCUAAUAGAGCUUCGACUACAAAAGUUUGCCCACCACACACUUCCCUCAUGGGAACAAACUGCACAAUAUCUCGAGUUGAUACACGUCCUGCGGAACUCUAUAAUUGACAGCCGUUAUCAGCAUCAAGGAUCUCCAUUUUUUUAAAAUCUGCUCUUCCCACUCCAACUAUCAGAAUCGAUAAGGGAAAAUCAGAUGCCCUGACCAAAGCAUAUUUUGUUUCUUGGAGAUCUGUAAGUACUCCAUCCUUUAUGAUAAGCAAAACAAAAUAUUUGUAGUUGUUAUAGCAGAGGGAUUGGCCAACAAUUUCAACUACAUUGUUGAUCACUUGUCCAAAUAAAGUCGGUCCCGCCAGAGCAACAUGGUUUAGUGCACUUGCAUAGGCAGCCAUGAUCUCUUGGAUUGUCAAGCCCCAAGACCCACUCCAAGGGCGUGACGGUCAUUUCACACCUCAAACCUGAAGGCUUAAAGUAUAAUCUGACCCAAACAAUCAUAUUGUAACUGGAUGUUACCAAUUACCAAAUACCUAUUCAGAGUAGCGGAACAAAAUCUAAAAUCCUCAAAAUUCAAUUUCCAAAUAACUUCCAAAUAUCAAAUGAUCCAAAUGAAUAUAACUAACAGUUAAACAAAAUCCAACAUAAAAUCCUAAGUCAAAUCUUAAUGAUGACCAUUCCUCAGCCUAGCCAUCACUCCUCACCCGAACUAAGAGUACCUGAAAAAUUUUCAACAAUUGGGAAUGAGCUCACAACCCAAUAAGGAAUAUUAAUGCAGUUCAUGGAUCACAUAUUUUCAUUUCAAAUAGGAGAUAUCAUUUUUUUUUCUCAUCAAAUAUCAGAGUUUCAAAAAUACCAAUAUAUUCAAAAUUCAACCAACCAAUUUCAUAUCAAAUUCAAACACUUUCACAUAAGAUUCAAUCAAAUCCAUUCAAUUUUUCAUUACUCUGGUUAUCAAAUAUCAAAUGCCCAGUUAGGUGGGACUUUUCAAAUGGGUGGCUAGCCUCAAAUUGUUCCUGGUGGACGGAACCAAACACUACUAGUACUAGUAAUCUCUAACCAAACCCCUAGAGGCUGGGGUCCAAAUCAAUUACAUUCUCACUAUGAAAUGUAAAGGUCAACUAUUAUAUCUCAUUGACAAGGUCGAAUAGUCAACUAUUAUAUCCCGUUGACAAGUGUCAAAUAAACCAGAGUGAUGUUUUUGUUCAAGUAUUCAAAUUUACACAACAUAAUAUCUCCAUAUUUUGUGUCAUAAAUAAAACAAAAUAUUCCAACAUAAUAUUUAGUGCAAAACAGUUUGAUCCAUGCAUGGUAACAAAAUAUCAUUUUCUUUUCCACAAUUCAAAAUAACAUAUAAAAAAAUUUAAUUUUAUAAAUAUUGCAUUAACUUCCCUUACCUCAAAAGAAGUCCUAAAAAACUUUGGAGAAAAAAAUAAUCCUGAUAAUCUACUCUUCACCUAACAAAACAUAAGAAGAACAAUUAUUACUAUUUACCUAAAAUUAUAGGUUUGACAAUCCUAAAAUUUUAGGUAUUCAAAUUAUUAUUUUUAAUUAUGAAAGACAAUUUAAUCUAUUCAUAAUAAUUUUUUUUUUGGGACACAACUUAAUUUAAUUAAACUAUAAUUUAUUUCACUAAUUAAUUUCUAUGUUAUUUAUUAACUUAUACUCAUCAUUAGUAUAAUUAUAAUACCAAAAAAAAAACUUUACUUUCUUUUAUUUAAAACUUCUAUUCUCUCUUUCCUUUUUUUUUUCAAACAUAAACUUUAUCCAUUAUUGUCAAUAUAAUAAUAUAUAUACAUAUAUAUAUACAUUAACUACCAAACCCCAUUCAUCCCUCCAUCCGUACACACACCCACACCCCAUAUAUAUAUAUAUAUAUAUUUUCUCCAAGUGUGCACAUGCGUCCUCUAUUUUUUUUUCUUUCUAAAAGCUUAAGAAUUUCCAAUUUCCAACAAUAAAUCAAAAUCUUAAAUUUUCACUAUUUUGAUAUUAAAACGAAAUAAUAAUAAUAAUAAUAAUAAUAAUAAUAAACUAACCCUAAUUCCAAUAAUAAAUCAAAAUCUUAAAUUUUCACUAUUUGAUAUUAAAACGAAUUAAAAAAAAUAAUCUAACCCUAAUCUAGAUUUGGGGUUUUCCAAAAAAUAUAUAUCUAAUGUGCUUGAAAUUAACUAAUGAAUCUAAAAUAAUAAUCUAGGGGUUAGAAACUUACCUAUAGAGGUUUGUUCUUCAAACCUUGAAAUCUGACCUCAACUUCACGUUCUCUGGAAACUCUCUAGGAAUAGGAAUACGAUUAAAAAAAGAACAGGAAGAAGAGAAUUUUCUAUUUAUACCUAGGGUAUUAUUCGUAAAAUUACCUUUUCACCCCUCUUCCAUUUUAUUAAAUUAAUUAAUUAGUUAAUUUAAUAUCAUUAUUAAGAAUUUCCUAAAUUACCCUUUAAAAGAAAACUUGGGCAUUACAUCCUCCUCUUCUUAACAAAAGUUUAGUCCUAUAAACUUGACAUGCCUGAAUCUUGAAAUAAUUGGCCUCUCGGAUACUAUGAUUGCUCCACUGGACCUUUACCAACUUGACAACAGCAUGUCGUAGUACCUUAUCCAUCACAUCCACAAUUUGAACGGGUACCUUUUCAUAGGUCAAGUCCUCAAAAAUUUGAAUAGGCUCCAACUCCACAACAUGAGAGGGAUCAUAAAUAUACUUCCUUAGAGUUGAAACAUGAAACACAUUAUGAACCUUAGACAGGCUUGGGGGCAAGGCUACUUUAUAUGCCAAAGUGCCUACUCUUUCUAAUAUUUCAAACGGACCCACAAAGCGAGGACUAAGUUUUCAUUUUCUCCCAAAUCUCAUCACAGACUUCAUAGGUGAAACUUUCAAGAACACAUGAUCACCCACCUCAAACUCCAAAUCUCGCCUACGAUGAUCGGCAUAACUCUUAUGUCUACUUUGAGCUGCUUUUAAUCUUUCUUUAAUCAAAACAACUUUUUCAACAAUCAACUGCACAAGUUCAGGCCCCAAAAGUUUCCUUUCUCCAACAUCAUUCCAACAGAUAGGAGAUCGACAUUUCCUACCAUACAAUGCCUCAAAAGGUGACAUCCUAAUGCUAGCUUGAAAACUAUUGUUAUAGGCAAACUCUACUAAAGGUAAAUGAUCAUCCCAAUUACCUUGCAGGUCCAAAAUACAAGCUCUCAACAAGUUUUCCAAAACCUGAAUUACCCUUUCUGAUUGGCCAUCAGUUUGAGGAUGGAAAGCAGUACUAAAACUCAACUUAGUGCCCAAAGCUUUUUGUAGACUAUGCCAGAAUCUAGAAGUGAAACAAGGAUCUCUGUCAGACACUAUAGAAACUAGUACUCCAUGCAUUCUCACAGUCUCCUUCACAUAAAGAGAAGCUAAACGAUUUAAAGAAAAGUUGACUUUCAUAGGCAAAAAGUGAGCAGACUUUGUCAACCGAUCAACAAUCACCCAAAUAGCAUUAUUACCCCCUAAGAUUCUUGGCAAUCCUAUCACAAAAUCCAUGGUAAUAUGCUCCCACUUCCACUCAGGAAUAGCAAGUGGCUGUAAAGACCCUAUUGGUCGUUGAUGUUCAGCCUUCACCUGUUGACACACUAAACACUGAGCCAUAAAUUGUGCAAUAUCACGCUUCAUACCUGACCACCAAUAGUUUUGCCUCAAAUCCUUGUACAUCUUUGUCCCUCCUGGGUGGAUUGCAAACUUGGAACAAUGAGCUUCCUCUAAAAGCUCCCUCCUUAAGUCUUCAUCAUUUGGGACACAAAGUCUAGUCCCAAAUCUUAAGACCUCAUCAUCUGACAAAACAAAAUCAGGCUUAUUGCCCCUCUUAACUUCCUCCAUAACUUGCACUAAUUGGGAAUCAUUCUUUUGUAGGGUCUUAAUUAUCCCAACUAAGUCUGGUUGUACUCUGAAAUCUGCUACAAGUGCUCCUAAGCCCAUAACUCGAAAGUGGACUUGUAAACUCCUCAACUCUUCAAGUAACUGCCUUUGACAACCUCUAAUAGCUGUUAGAGAACCAACUGACUUCCUACUCAAGGCAUCAGCUACAACAUUUGCCUUCCCAGGAUGAUACUGAAUAAUACAAUCAUAGUCCUUAAGUAGUUCAAUCCACCUCCUCUGUCUCAUGUUCAAUUCCUUUUGGGAAAAUAAAUACUUCAAACUCUUAUGAUCUGUGAAUAUCUCACAAGUUUCACCAAAAAGAAAAUGUCUCUAGAUCUUAAGUGCAAAAACCACAGCAGCUAACUCCAAAUCAUGAGUAGGGUAGUUCCUUUCAUAAGACUUCAACUGUCUAGAAGCUUAAGCUACAACUCUCCCAUGUUGCAUAAGAAAACAACCUAAACCCUGAUGAGAGGCAUCACUAUACACCAUAAAUCCUCCUGAACCUGAAGGGAUAGUCAAAAUAGGAGCUGACUCUAAUCUAUUCUUCAACUCUUGGAAGCUACAUUCACAAUCAUCAAACCACUCAAACUUAACUCCCUUCUGUGUCAACUUAGUUAAAGGUAGGGCAAUCUUAGAGAACCCUUCUAUAAACCGCCUAUAGUAACCAACAAGUCCCAAGAAACUUCGAAUCUCAGUCACAGUAUUAGGUCUUCUCCAAUUAGCUACAACAUCUACCUUUCCAGGGUCAACUGAGAUGCCAUCAUUGCUUACCACAUGCCCAAGGAAAGAAAUUCAGUCUAACCAAAACUCACACUUCUUCAGUUUAGCAUACAACUGCUUAUCUUUGAGGGUCUGUAAUACAAUACUCAAAUGGCCCUCAUGCUCCUCUCUACUUUUUUAGUAUACCAAGAUGUCAUCUAUAAAAACCACCACAAACUGAUUUAGAUAGGGCUUGAAUACCCUAUUCAUUAAGUCCAUAAAAGCAACAGGUGCAUUAGUCAAACCAAAAGGCAUAACCAAAAACUCAUAAUGCCCGUAUCUAGUUCGAAAAGCAAUCUUAGGUACAUCUUCACUUCUAACCCUUAACUGAUGAUAACCAGACCGAAGAUCAAUCUUAGAGAACACAUAAGCACCUUGUAGCUGAUCAAAUAAAUCAUCAAUCCGAGGAAGGGGAUACUUGUUCCUCAUUGUCACCUUAUUCAACUCCCUAUAGUCAAUGCAAAGUCUCAUUGAGCCAUCAUUCUUUUUCACAUAUAGAAUAGGAGCUCCCCAAGGUGAAACACUAGGCCUGAUAAAACCCUUGUCUAAUAACUCCUGAAGCUGAACUUUCAACUCCUUAAGCUCCACAGGUGCCAUCCUGUAUGGGGCCUUAGACAUAGGACCUGUUCCUGGUACCAGAUCGAUGGUGAACUCCACCUCUCUCUCUGGUGGCAAGCUAGGCAAAUCCUCUGGAAAGACAUCAGGAUACUCCCUUACUAUGGGUAUGUCUUCCAACUUCAAAUCACUUUCAUUACUCAUCACACUAGCCAAAAAUCCUUGGCAACCCUUCUUGAGCAAGCUACUAGCUCGCAAGGUUGAGAUCAUACGCAGUGGUUUGUCCACAUGUUUCCCUUCAAAGCUAAACUUAGGUUGACUAGGAAUACUAAAUGUCACCUUUUUUUCAAAAUAGUCAACAGAGGCAUGGUAGGAAGCUAACCAAUCCAUCCCCAAAAUCACAUCAAAAUCCUGAAGGUCAAGGAGUACUAAGUCAACUGGCAUUUCCCUAUAACCAAUCAUCACAAUACAAUUUCUAAUCAUUCUACUGGCCACAACAGAAUCUCCCACAAGAGUAGCAACAAUCAAAUCAAAGUCCAUGCUAGCAACAGGCAAACCCAACAAACCAGUAAAAGAUACUAAAACAAAAGAGUGUAUUGAUCCAGGAUCAAUCAAGACUCUAGCAAAUAAGGUGUGGAUUCAGAGAGUACUUGUCACCACAUCAAAAGUGGCCUGAGCAUCUCGAUGAGUCAUAGCAAACACCCGUCCUUGGGCUUUGGGUUUCUGUUUAUCCUCCUUAUUUUCCUCUUUAGGCUUCCUAGUGAUGAACUUCCUAUUCUCUGGACAAUCUCUGAUCGAAUGUCCUUGCUUCCCACAACCAAAGCAAACUCCAGUCUCUCUAUAGCAUGACCUACCCCCAUGCUUCUUACCACAAGUAGGACAAGCCCCAUCUAAAUUAUGCGCUGUCUUCCCUUUAUUCUGAUUUCUUCCUAAUGUAGACCUUCGCUGUGCUUGAUUACCAUGAGCACCAUCACUCCUAUUUCGCUUCCUUUGCUGUUCCCUAUACUGAUGAAGCUCCUCAUUAUCUUUCUCUGCUAUAAGGGCUCUAUCAACAACCUCUGAAUAGACACCAAGCUUUAGAAUAAAUAUCUUGUUCUUCAAAUAAGGCUUCAAUCCAUCCUGAAACUUUAAUGCCUUUUCCUCCUCUAUAGCAAUCAACUGUGGGGAAAAACGUGAUAACUCUGUAAAUUUGGCCUCAUACUGAGCCACAGUCAUAUCCCCCUGUUCCAAACGAAUAAACUCUCCCACCUUCUGCCGCCUAACACUAUCAGGGAAAUACUUCUUGUAGAAAGCCUCCCUAAAUUGUCUCUAUGUUAUGGGUCCCUGAUCCUCUAAAAGUCUCCUAGUCAUACGCCACCAAUGAUCUGCCUCUUUAUCUAAUAUAAAGCUGUAUAAGAGGUUUUUUGCUCCUCAGAGCAAUCUAUGACACCAAAUAAUUUCUCCAUCUUAAGGAUCCAAGCCUUUGCCUCUGUGGGAUCUGUAGCACCAGAAAAGUAAGGAGGACCCAAUUUCUUGAAGUCAUCAAAAGAGCUACCCCUAGAAGAUGAAGACUGUCCCUGAACAUUAGUCCCAACAGCUCGAGCUUAGCGUUCAACUAAACCAGCUAGUGUCCCAAGAUACCUAUAAAUCCCUUCUGUACUCACAAGAGGCAAACCCUCAACUGGAGGUAUAUCAUCAUUAGCCUGACUGUUUUGUGAAGAAGCUGCUCUUCUUGGUGGCAUGAUGUCCUAAAAUAAUAAUGCAUAACUAAAUUAGUCACUAAAGAACCAAUUAGAAAAUUUCCAAAUAAAGAAAGAAUUGAAAUUUAUACUAAAUGAAACUAAAACUUAAACAAAUGCGUCACUCAUCUAUCCCCAAUCUAAACCAAUUCAAAUUCCCAUCAAGAUCAAAACCUAGUGCUCUGAUACCACUCUGUCAUGCCCCAAGACCCACUCCAAGGGUGUGACGGUCAUUUCACACCUCAAACCCGAAGGCUUAAAGUAUAAUCUGACCCAAACAAUCAUAUUGUAAUUGGAUGUUACCAAUUACCAAAUACCUAUUCAGAGUAGCGGAACAAAAUCUAAAAUCCUCAAAAUUCAAUUUCCAAAUAACUUCCAAAUAUCAAAUGAUCCAAAUGAACAUAACUAACAGUUAAACAAAAUCCAACAUAAAAUCCUAAUGAUGACCAUUCCUCAACCUAGCCAUCACUCCUCACCUGAACUAAGAGUACCUGAAAAAUUUUCAACAAUUGGGAAUGAGCUCACAGCCCAAUAAGGAAUAUUAAUGCAAUUCAUGGAUCAAAUAUUUUCAUUUCAAAUAGGAGAUAUCAUUUUUUUUUCUCAUCAAAUAUCAGAGUUUCAAAAAUACCAAUAUAUUCAAAAUUCAACCAACCAAUUUCAUAUCAAAUUCAAACACUUUCACAUAAGAUUCAAUCAAAUCCAUUCAAUUUUUCAUUACUCUGGUUAUCAAAUAUCAAAUGCCCAGUUAGGUGGGACUUUUCAAAUGGGUGGCUAGCUUCAAAUUGUUCCUGGUGGACGGAACCAAACACUACUAGUACUAGUAACCUCUAACCAAACCCCUAGAGGCUAGGGUCCAAAUCAAUUACAUUCCCACCAUGAAAUGUAAAGGUCAACUAUUAUAUCCCAUUGACAAGGCCGAAUAGUCAACUAUUAUAUCCCGUUGACAAGGACCAAAUAAACCAGAGUGAUGUUUUUGUUCAAGUAUUCAAAUUUACACAACAUAAUAUCUCCAUAUUUUGUGUCAUAAAUAAAACAAAAUAUUCCAACAUAAUAUUUAGUGCAAAACAGUUUGAUCCAUGCAUGGUAACAAAAUAUCAUUUUCUUUUCCACAAUUCAAAAUAACAUAUAAAAAAUUUAAUUUUAUAAAUAUUGCAUUAACUUCCCUUACCUCAAAAGAAGUCCUAAAAAACUUUGGAGAAAAAAAUAAUCCUGAAAAUCUACUCUUCACCUAACAAAACAUAAGAAGAACAAUUAUUACUAUUUACCUAAAAUUAUAGGUUUGACAAUCCUAAAAUUUUAGGUAUUCAAAUUAUUAUUUUUAAUUAUGAAAGACAAUUUAAUCUAUUCAUAAUAAUUUUUUUUUUUUGGAUACAACUUAAUUUAAUUAAACUAUAAUUUAUUUCACUAAUUAAUUUCUAUGUUAUUUAUUAACUUAUACUCAUCAUUAGUAUAAUUAUAAUACCAAAAAAAAAAAAAACUUUACUUUCUUUUAUUUAAAACUUCUAUUCUCUCUUUCCUUUUUUUUUUCAAACAUAAACUUUAUCCAUUAUUGUCAAUAUAAUAAUAUAUAUACAUAUAUAUAUACAUUAACUACCAAACCCCAUUCAUCCCUCCAUCCGUACACACACCCACACCCCAUAUAUAUAUAUAUUUUAUUUUUUUCUCCAAAUGUGCACACGCGUCCUCUAUUUUUUUUUUUUUCCUAAAAGCUUAAGAAUUUCCAAUUUCCAACAAUAAAUCAAAAUCUUAAAUUUUCACUAUUUUGAUAUUAAAACGAAAUAAUAAUAAUAAUAAUAAUAAUAAACUAACCCUAAUUCCAAUAAUAAAUCAAAAUCUUAAAUUUUCACUAUUUGAUAUUAAAACGAAUUAAAAAAAAUAAUCUAACCCUAAUCUAGAUUUGGGGUUUUCCAAAAAAUAUAUAUCUAAUGUGCUUGAAAUUAAUUAAUGAAUCUAAAAUAAUAAUCUAGGGAUUAGAAACUUACCUAUAGAGGUUUGUUCUUCAAACCUUGAAAUCUGACCUCAACUUCACGUUCUCUGGAAUCUGUCUGCGAACAGGAAUACGAUUCAAAAAAGAACAAGAAGAAGAUAAUUUUCUAUUUAUACCUAGGGUAUUAUUCAUAAAAUUACCUUUUCACCCCUCUUCCAUUUUAUUAAAUUAAUUAAUUAAUUAAUUUAAUAUCAUUAUUAAGAAUUUCCUAAAUUACCCUUUAAAAGAAAAUUUGGGUGUUACAUGGACCCUUUCAACCUCAACACCACUUGCACUUCCAUUUAAGUUAAAACAAUGUGAUAUGGUACCAUCCAUUAUUCUUCUCCCAAAUCCCCAUGCAGGAAAGCGCCUAUCAGAAUCAUAAAAUUGUAUGACCUCUUCGACGUCCAUUAUAGCUUGUUGGUAAGCAUUGAACCGGCCAAAAUGAUCAAUGUAGUGCAAAGAAUCUGGAGUUCGAGGAUUUCCAUUUGAAGCAGUAAAAUCGACAACAACCAUAAAAUUAAGUGCACAUCCACUAGAUACAUAAUCAAUAAAACUGUAUAGUUGCUUCUCACAAAAUUGAUCAACAAAUAGUUGGUCCUUCAAAACCUUCUCAUGACCAUGUUGAACAGAAGAGGGUAAGAUGAAAUUGACACCAAUUUUUUUUUUUUUUUUUUUUUUGUUUAUGAAGUUUUUCCAAGUCUACCACUGAUUUUUGAAGUUCAAUAAUCAGUACAUUAUUCCCACUAGUAUUGAAAUCAAAGCACUCAAUAACUAAUAGGUUAUCCUUGCUAACAAAUUGCUUCAUUGUCAAACGUAGAGGCCUCCAGAUUGGAUUCAAGUUGUUAUCAACCACUUUUGUCUUGCAAAUUGAAAAAAAACCUCCAUGUUCAACCAUCCUAGAUAUUCUUAGAAAAGGGUCACUUUUAGAAACCAAGUCUUUGUUUUCCAAAUGUGAACAAUGGAAUAUAACAUCAAUAGAUUUCCUUGAAGCAGCUGUUUCCUCUGCAUGGACAAUGAGUUUCCCUAGGUUUUUCAAACCCCUAUUCCCAUUUCUGUUAUGAAGAUCUAAGGUUAAAUUUUGGCCUUGUUUAGUCAAUAUCUCUGAUAGAACACAACUGCAUUCUCCAAGGAAUUCUUGAUCAUUCAACUUCAGUGUUUGGACAGUCUCCAAUCUUAUCACUUGACUUCAAGUUGCCAUUCCUCUCCAAGAUUCUCCCCAAACAAGUGUACUACCGGUUCGACUCAUUUUCUCCGAAGUCAAUCCCAUAAUGCUUUCUCUCCAAAGUUUGUAUGCUAUAAUGAUUUCUUCCUUGCUUGGAGAAUGGUGCGGUUGGUUGAUGGUUCUUCCCUGAAUCUGUUGGUUCUUCUCUGAGUUAGAUCUUCCCCUCUAGAAAAAUCCCUCGUGCUCCUUCCAAAUCACUGGCUUAUGCGUCCUCUUCCUCUCCUGGAGAUAUAUGUUUCUAUUUUUCUCACGAAAACAAUCCAAAAAAAAUCCUCCUGCCUCCUCCCGUGUCCCUUAAUUGAAUACAAGGUAUGUCAUUUUCCCAUCAUAAUAGUAAGCAUUUAAUUAUAAUUACUCAAACCUCCCGAUGAACUAAUCCUACUGGUUCUAGUAAACGAUUUACUUGCACCAUUCCCUCCAACAAAAUGAAGAGAUCAACCACCAUUACCUCCCCAUAAGAGAGAAUCUCCAAGGAAAAUAUGAGGAAUUUUGUGAGCACCAUCAGUACUAAUGAUAACAACAAUAAUCAAACCAUAAAUUCCCAACACUCUUGCCAUAACAGCUGGAACGAUCGACUUCAUAACAAGUUCCAAUCUCAUCACACCCAUGGAGGCCACACCAACCCCGUUCUUUGUGGUUCCAUAUGACACUCCCAUAUAGGAGAAAACAAGGGUGGUAGCAGCGUCGAGGAAACCGAAGAAUGGAGCCAUCUCAUCGCCGCUGAAGGUAGACAUCUUCUUGUGUUUGAUUUCCACCCAAACGGACCAGAUUUGAAAAAAUUUCUUCCUUUUUCUCUGCAGUGUCCUUUCCUCUAUGCUUAGAAUUUUUCUUCCUCUUGUUCCCUCUUCCUUUGUCUGGUGUGAUUGCACUUUUUUUCUCAUUUUUUUUUUAUGAUCUCUCUGAUCCCCUUUCUAGAAUGGUAAGUCUUCUUUUCAUGUAACGCUCACUAUUUCAUUCAUCUAUGCGCGUGAUGUUCUCCCAACUGUCCCUUGUAUUUUUCCAAAAAAACCGGCUUCAUUCAUUCACCAGAACGCCGGAGAUCCCUCUUUCACGUGAUGCUGAAUCGCCCUUUACCCUCAUGGUGAAUAUGUGUUGUCCAUUUUUAAGUCCCCCGCAUCACUUUCCAAUGGUGGUUGCAUGUGGACCUUCAUUGUAGAUUUCCUCCAACUCUCCCAAAUCCAUAGAUGCCUUUAAAAUACACUUUUCUUCCCAUCCUGAUUUUUCAUUCCAAAAAAUAUAUAGCCCAUUGACCUUCUUUUUCCUUAAAAAAAAUUUGACCUUGAUUCCCUAUUCCCAAAUAUGUAAUCGUUUCCUCAUCAAAACAAAAUAAAAUAAACUUAAAAAUUAAAAAAAAAAAAAACUAAUGAAAAUCAUGAGAUUGAUAAAUAAAAUAAAAGAAGAUUAAAAAGAAAAAAAGAAAGACUAAAUUACGUAAUUUCAUGAUUUAAUAAUGCAACCACAUGCAUAUUUAAAGUCAAAGCAAUUCAAGCAAUUUUCUAUUAAAUAAGUAAAUAAAUAAAAAAAAUUAAACAAAAAUAAAUGUAAUUAUUAAAUUCAUGCAAUAAUAAUAAAAAGAUUAAAAAUAAAAAUAAAAAUAAAAUAAUAAAAAAAUAAAAUAAGAUAAAAUAAAAUAAAUAAAUAAAUAAAUCAAGCGCGUGCUAGUCAUACAAUCUAUGCAACCCUACUUGAGAGGUGACCUAAGCAAGACUAGUAAAACUAAGUGGGCUAGUCAUGCCUAAUGGGCCAUGUGUGCUUAAAUGAGCCUAAGGUGCUUAUGUGGGCUUAGAGUGCCUAAGUGGGCCUAGGAAGGAUGCCUAAGUGGGGCCUAGGAUGCCUAAAUGGGCCUAGGGUGCCUAAAUGGACUUAAGGUGUCUAAGUGGGCCUAAGGUGCUUAAGUGGGCCUAAGGUGCCUAAGUGGGCCUAGGGUGCCUAAAUGAACUUUAAGUGCCUAAGUGGGCUUAAGGUGCCUAAGUGGGCUUAAGGUGUCUAAGUGAUCUAGUCUAAAUAGGGCUACCAAGAGUCACAAUGGGGUUAGGUAAAUCUCUUAACCAAAGUCUCCAAGGUGUCUUAGAAAAGAUAGACUACACGAGUAGUAAUGGGCCACCAGGAAAUUGCUGUAAAGUAUUGAACAAAUACCUAAUAGGACAUGUGCUAAGAUGACAAAAUGGAGAGUCUACAGAUAUUUUCUUGUUUAGGGGAAUUUGUCCAAGGUUUCCUUUCAACUCCUUGUGUGCGCCGUAACAUGCUAGCAGUGAUUCGUGAUGAGGACUUGACUUCUUAACCAUCACCUCCAUGUAUUCUCUUGUAGUAAAGGCAACCCUAUAGCUUGAAUAAGAGUAGUAGGUUGAAAUAUCACGACUUGAUUCUUGAUUGUAUUUCUCAAACUAGUUAUGAACCAUAUUCCUCUAUUAAGCACUUGUCCUUACCAUUAACGCUUCAAACUACUCUUAAUAAAUUCACACCGAUGAGGUUUGCCUCAAUUUAGUAAUCUAGCCUAUUAGAUUGUCAUACGUCCUUGGUCCAAGCUGCAUAAUUAUAUUUACAACAAAUGUCUUUCAAUUUAAUUCCUUACCAAAGGCUUCAUAACCCUAGAACCAUUGUAGAGUCUUGCCCUUCAAAUGAAUAAAGGCAAUCUCAACCUUCUCUUAUUCCAACAUUUCAUUAUACUAGAAAAACCUCUCACACUUGUACACCCAACCCACAAGAUUUUCCUCCUCAAAAGCUAGAAAAUUCAAUUUUAAAAAUUUGGUUUGCAUAUGAUUCAUGUUAGAAGCGAAACCUGUUCGUGGCUUGAUUGCAAUUAAACCACAAACCCCCAUGGAAACCAUUGAAACCAAUGAUUUUUCUAUUAGAUGAUCAAUUUUGAGGUUCAUUGCUAUCAUCAUUCGGGCUAACUCCUUCAGUUCUAACGAUUGUUGAUUUGAGGUCUCUUUCAAUUGCUUUACGGAAUCCUCCAACGGAUGAACUUCUUGUGUUCUAGUCCCAUCCAUCAUCACUUGGUGCUAGGUUGUCGCUCUAAUACCGAUGAAACAACCAAGAAGAAGAAGAUACGAUAUAAACAAAGAAAAAUAAAACUUUUAUUGAAUAAUGUUCUCAUAAUCCCUACCUAAAAGGAACUAGUCUCUUUAUACCCAAGAGUCAUUGACUCAACAAAAAUAAAAGUAUAAAUUGCAAAAGAAAAUCAAAUAAAAUCUGAGUAAUUACCAAACUCAGCUUAUUCAGAAACACCUAAGAUAACCAAAAUAAAAUCAAAUAAAAUGACGGAACCUAAUUUAAAAUGAGUUAUUGCAAAAGUAUUUUAAAGGUGGAUUUUAUAACCCUCGUUUCUUCCUUGUAGGAUCAGCUGGUGCAAUUCUCUUGGGUCAAUUUCUCAAUUGUGAGAACAAGAGGUGUAGAGAUUUUGAUAUGAUCAUGCUUAAAACUGCAAGUAGGGAUGUCACAGAGAGGCAGCAUUAAAGGUGCAAUGACGUGAUGGAGAAAAAUAAAAUUUUGUUUCUUUUCUGCAACCAGCAGCCCAACUAAAAGAGAGCAAGUUCAGUCAACUCUAUUAUCCAUGAAACCUGUAUUACAAAAGAAAGUGAAAGAUUAAGACAAAUAUUGAGAGACCCAUUUAAUUCUGCUGCUUGGCCUUUUCAAACAUAGUGAUUUUGUUAGUAAUUGCUGGGUUUUGUGGCUCUUUCUCAAGGGUAGGUGUGAUAUUGGGGUUCUGAAGGAGAGGGACAGAGGGGUAUCAUAAAACGACGUGGUUGGAACUCUUUCUCACAUUACGUUUAGGGUUUUUGCUUCUUAUUGGCAGCAGGAAGGAGCUGAGUGGGAGAGUGACAAAUAUGAGAAAAAAAUAACCCAUCUGCAUGGAAGCCAUUUUUGGGCUAAGUUUCAGUAGUGGAGGAGAAAACUGGCAAUUCCUCAGUCUGAGCUUCUCCUUUUUCCUCAAUUGGAUGCUGUUUAUGUAGGGCUUGACCAAUCCAAGUUGAAGCCCUAGUUAAAACCCUGAUGGGGCUAAUUAAUCGGAUGCCAUAUUGCAGAAAGAGCUUCUUACUCAUUUUACUUGAGCCUUGAAAAAGUUCAGCAGAUGGAGAAUAACAUUUCCCUAAUCCUCCAUUUGCUGGUUAUAAUUACAAUUCCCCAUCUCUCCUUGUAAAUUCUCUGUUUAUACCAAUAUUAGCUAUCUCAUCCUUGCCAAAAACAGCUUGCUCUAAUGCUUUCUAAUUCGUGGUAACAGAUGCUUUGCUUUGAUAUAUGAACUUUACGCAAAUAAAAAAUAACAUUCCAUUUGGAAUGUGUUCAAUUAGUUAUGUAUUUAAUCCCAUGUACUUGUACUUUGAAGGACAAUUCAAGGGCUUUCCAUGCAUUGAUUGAAUAUGGCUAAUGGCUAGUCAAAUGAGUAUCCAAUGGAUAAGUCAUAAGAAUAAGGAAAGAGAUGUUUUCCUGGUUACUGGAUGAGGUAGAGGCUGAAUCUUUAUGCUUUACUUAAUGCCUGAGAAAGAUUCUAUGGAAAUGAUUUCUUCAAAAUAUUACAGUAGGGGGGUGGUAUGUUUCUUCCUCUAUUGAAAUUUUGAUGAAUAAUUUCCUCUUGGUUUUGAAGUUGUGGUUUGCUACAUUGGUGGAUGUCAUUGGCAUUAUUAUCUGACUCUGUUUAUCUAUAUUUCUUUUCUUCUUUGCCUUUAUUUGUCUGUCCCCUUUUCCUUUUCUUGUUUGUGUCAAACAUUUGCUGUUGAUUAUCUUUUGGAAUGUUAUGUUUAUACAAAUAACAGUGUGGCUUAGAACUGUUGUAUGUUGGUAGUCUAUUGCUCAAACCAACUGUCUGAAUAAAAUGCUUGGGUAAUGACCUAUUAAUUGAACGUUGUGAAGAACUCCCAUAUUCCUUUUGUGUGAAUCCCAUGGUCGAUGUUUUUUUUUUCAUCAUUUUGGAAGGGAUCUGAUAUAUAUUUUCAAUAGGUGUAAGUGUGAGGCAUACUUUAACCAGAUCCAUCAUUUUAAUUUAAGAAUUUUAUAUUUGUAGAUAGACCAAGAUACUUUUGUUUUGCUGUUAACACAUUUCCAAACAGUUCAGAUAAAAUGUAUCAAGAAACAUCAGCCAUAGAAACAUCCAUAUUUUCAGUCUGCAGAUUAGGAACUUGCAGCUUUAAUUAAUAGGACAUAAAGUUGAACAUAAAAAUCCUGCACUAUCAUGAAAAAAUAUAGCUCACAAAUCCAGUAGAAAAGCUUUAAUAUCAUGCAACUUUGUCAAUGCUUCUCUCAUGAUUAAACGAUCUGUAGUUGAAUGAGCAGCACACGACAAACCAACAUGUAUUAUGGCAGUAGUACACUCUUCAGUUUUGAUUUGCGAAUGGGACGAAGUAUUGCUGCUAUUAAUGAUGCUGUUAAAGUCACCAGAAGAACUAGUGAAGGUGCUAUAGUCUGUACAAGCAUCAUUGUUAAAAAGCCGUUUGUCAGCCAUAUCUAAAAAUUGAUUUAUGAGCAGAGCGGAUGCCAACUUAUGCUGAUCUAAACCUUCCUGAAACAUUUCAUCUGUGGGUUUCUUUGCUGUGAAUAUCUCAAGCAGCAAAAUUCCAAAGCUGUAGACAUCCCUACUUGUUGAAAUCCUUCUACCUAAACCACACUCUACAACAAAAUAACAUCACAUUAGAGUAAUGAAGACCCACACUCAAAAGUGGAAUGUUCGAUGCCGAAUGUUCCUCAACACUUCACACUCUGCAUUGAAAUUCUCAGAAGCUUCACCUUGUUGUAAGUCGAUAACCUUCACUGCAAAAAUGGUGUUGACCCCAUUUUCACCAGUUCAAAAAUGGUGUCGAUAACCUCAUUUUCUUAGCCACCUUUCCCCAUCCCAAGUUCAAAAGCCUUGUUUCUAUUUCUAAGUCAGUAAGAGCUAUCCUUACUCCGUCAUUUAUCAGGAUUGUAUAUAUCGUGUACUCUUUGGUGCCAUUAUAUAUACAUGUUAUUUGUAAAUCAGAAAAAAAAAUACGGAAAAAUGUCUUAAGAGAGUGGUUUGGAGUUAUUUGGGAUUGUGAUUAUAGGGGGUGGGUUUUUUUAUUCAGCAUUAGUAAGUUCUCUCCAAUCUUCUUCAACUUUUGAUUUAUGCCAAGAUUUUUGCAGUUUAUUUUUGUAGUUGCCAGCAUAAGUUAAGGCCUGAGGUGUAGAAGAGGAUAACCCAUGAAAAUUGAGUUUAUAGAGAAAAGGAAAAACAUAUUUUAUUUAUUUUUAUUACUGUUAAAGAGUAAAAAAUGUAUGUUAAGUUAACGUCCUCUUGUGCACACAUCUCCAACCGUGCAGGGAGUGAAACAUUUUUAAACAAAUGCAUGGGGAAUAAACGAACAUAGAAGUUUAAGCCUGAGAGUUCUAAGAAUCAAGGCUCUAGUACUAUAUUUGUUAGAAUUCAUGAGAGUUUGCCUUUGAAAAUGUCUUAGUUAGACUUAGUCUCUGUUUUGCUAUCUCUGAUUUUCAGUUUUCUGUUAGUAGAAGUAGUCAUAGCAGCUGAGAGUUUUUAGCAUUUUCAAUUUGGUUGUAAGCCUAUAAAUAGGCAUUCUCUUCGGUGAAAUAUAGUGUGUGUCUUUCUCCAACUCAGUACUCUAAUAUUUUCUGAAAGUUUUAGUUCCUUUCUCCAGAUUUUUAACAGUGGUAUCAGAGCAAAAUUCCUAUGGGCUGUGAGGCAAAGUUUUUGAGUGUUUUGAGUACUAAACACAGUGAGGUUGAGUGCAAACACUAGUGAGGUUGACUGAUCUAUUUUUUUCAGGCAACUGUGGUGCAAACAUGACUCCUUCUAGCAAUAUUUCCUCUGUAAUUCCAGUGUUUAAUGGUGAACACUAUCACAUUUGGGCUGUCAAGAUGAGGUUUUAUUUAAGGUCUCAAGGUUUGUGGAAUGUUGUGAUGUCAGAAGCUGAUCCACCACCAUUGGGAGCAAAUCCUACAGUUGCUCAGAUGAAAGCAUAUGAGGAAGAAAAACUCAAGAAAGACAAAGCCAUCACUUGCCUACAUUCAGGACUUGCAGACCACAUCUUCACCAAAAUCAUGAACUUGGAAACACCUAAACAGGUAUGGGACAAGCUCCAAGGUGAAUUUGAGGGCAGUGAAAGAGUAAAAAAUGUUAGACUCCUCACAUUGAAGAGAGAGUUUGAGUUGAUGAAGAUGAAAGACGAUGAAUCUGUCAAAGAUUAUUCUGGCAGGUUAAUGGAUGUUGUAAACCAAAUGCGGCUUCUUGGUGAGGCAUUUACAGAUCAAAAGGUGGUAGAAAAGAUCAUGGUUUCAGUGCCUCAAAAGUUUGAAGCCAAGAUUUCUGCAAUUGAGGAGUCUUGUGACUUGCAAACUCUCACAAUUGUAGAGUUAACCAGCAAGCUUCAUGCACAGGAGCAAAGGGUCUUAAUGAGAGGUGAUGAAGCUACUGAAGGUGCUUUUCAAGCAAAUCACAAGGGAAAGAAUUCUGGAAACUUGCAAGGAAAGAAGUUCUUCAAGAACAGCAGAGGGAAAGCUGAAGGGUCUUCAAGAAAAGGAAAAUUUCCGCCUUGCUCUCAUUGCAAAAGAACCAACCAUGCUGAGAAAGAUUGUUGGCACAAAGGUAAACCUCUCUUUAAUUGUAACUUCUGCAAUAAACUUGGCCACAGUGAGAAGUAUUGCAGAGCCAAGAAAAAACAAUCUCAACAGCAACCAGAACAACAUGCAAGUGUGACUGAAGAAGACAAAAAUGAUGAUGAGCAUUUAUUUAUGGCAUCACAAGCACUCAGUUCUCAUGAACUGAAUACUUGGCUCAUUGACAGUGGCUGCACAAGUCACAUGACCAAACAUCUGUCAAUAUUUACCUCCAUUGAUAGAUUAGUUCAACCAAAGGUCAAGUUGGGAAAUGGUGAAGUUGUGCAAGCCAAAGGAAAAGGGACAAUUGCUAUCAGCACCAAGAAAGGUACAAAAAUUGUCACUAAUGUUCUUUAUAUUCCAGAUUUAGAUCAGAAUCUUCUUAGUGUUGCACAAAUGCUAAGAAAUGGAUAUGCAAUCUCUUUCAAAGAAAAUUUUUGUUUUAUCUCUGAUGUACACGGAACAGAGAUAGCAAAAAUUAAAAUGAAUGGAAAUAGUUUUUAUUUGAAGCUUGAUUUAGUUGAAGGUCAUGUCUUUAGUGCCAAGAUUGAUGAGAGUGUUGUUUGGCACAAAAGAUAUGGUCAUUUCAACUUGAAGUCACUGAGGUUCAUGCAAGAAGCUGGUAUGGUUGAAGACAUGCCUGAAAUCUCAGUUAAUGCUCAAACUUGUGAAAGUUGUGAGCUAGGGAAGCAACAACGACAACCAUUCCCUCAAAAUAUGUCCAAGAGAGCUACUCACAAGCUGGAAUUAAUCCAUUCAGAUAUUUGUGGACCAAUGAGCACAACCUCAUUGAGCAACAAUGUGUAUUUUGCGCUAUUUAUUGAUGAUUUCAGCAGAAUGACUUGGGUUUAUUUUCUAAAAACCAAGUCACAAGUGCUCUCUAUGUUCAAAAGCUUCAAGAAAAUGGUUGAAACUCAAAGUGGCCAGAACGUUAAGGUGCUCAGAACUGAUAAUGGAGGUGAGUAUACCUCAAAAGAGUUUAGUGUCUUUUGUCAAGAAGCUGGAAUUCUACACCAGCUAACAACUCCAUACUCACCACAGCAGAAUGGAGUCUCUGAGAGGAAGAACAGAACCGUGAUGGAGAUGGCAAGGUGCAUGCUAUUCGAGAAGAAGCUACCAAAGCUUCUAUGGGCUGAAGCAGUCAACACCUCAGUGUAUUUGCUUAACAGACUACCAACUAAGUCUGUUCAGAGCAAAACACCAAUAGAGGCAUGGUCUGGUGUAAAACCUUCUGUCAAGCACCUGAAAGUUUUUGGCUCAUUUUGUUAUCUUCAUGUGCCAUCUGUCAAGAGAGGGAAGCUUGAUGAAAGAGCUGAGAAAGGUGUCUUUGUUGGUUAUGCAGCAGAAUCAAAAGGUUACAGAAUUUAUAGCUUGAGUAGAAUGAAAAUCGUGAUAAGUAGAGAUGUGCACUUUGAUGAAAACUCCUAUUGGAAUUGGGACUUGAAGAAAGUUCAUAAAUGUGAUCAAACCACUCCAUCUAUUCUUGAACCAGCAAUAGAAAGUACAAUCAUUGAAGGUCCACUUGAUGUUGAAGCAACUUCAGACACACCAGUGCUUAAGAUGAGGCCAUUAUCUGAUGUGUACGAGAGGUGCAAUCUUGUACAUGCUGAGCCUACAUGUUACACGGAAGCUGCAAGAUUUCUAGAAUGGAUUGAGGCCAUGAAAGUUGAAAUUGAUGCUAUCGAAAGAAAUGGAACCUGGAAGUUGACAGAACUACCUGAAGCUAAGAAUGCAAUUGGUGUAAAGUGGGUUUUCAGAACUAAAUUUAAUUCAGAUGGUUCAAUCUUCAGGCACAAGGCUAGAUUGGUUGUGAAGGGUUUUGCUCAAGUUGCUGGAGUGGACUAUGGUGAUACAUUUGCACCAGUAGCCAGACAUGACACUAUAAGGCUACUACUUGCACUUGCUGGUCAAAGGGGAUGGAAAGUGUACCAUUUAGAUGUCAAGUCAGCUUUUCUAAAUGGUAUACUUCUUGAAGAAAUUUAUGUUCAACAACCAGAAGGCUUUGAGGUUAUUGGCCAUGAACACAAAGUGUACAAGCUACAUAAGGCUCUCUAUGGUUUGAAGCAAGCACCAAGGGCCUGGUAUAGCAGAAUUGAUUCUCAUCUGAUCCAACUUGGAUUUAGGAGGAGUGAAAAUGAAGCUACUUUGUAUUUGAAACAAAAUGAUGAUUUUGUAUUUGAAACAAAAUGAUGAUGGUUUGCAACUGGUAGUAUCACUUUAUGUUGAUGACAUGCUAGUGACCGGAAGCAAUGUAAAAUUGCUAGCUGAUUUCAAAAUGGAAAUGCAGGAUGUAUUUGAGAUGUCUGACCUUGGCAUCAUGAACUACUUCCUUGGAAUGGAAAUAUACCAAUGCAGCUGGGGUAUCUUCAUUUCACAAAGAAAAUAUGCUAUGGAUAUUCUCAAGAAAUUCAAGCUAGAAUCAUGCAAAGAAGUAGCAACUCCGCUGGCACAAAAUGAGAAAAUUUCAAAGAAUGAUGGUGAGAAACUUGAGGAACCCUCUGCAUAUAGAAGCUUGGUGGGCAGCCUACUAUACUUGACAGUAACCAGACCUGACUUGAUGUUUCCAGCUAGUUUGCUUUCAAGGUUCAUGAGUUCACCUAGCAAUGUUCACAUGGGAGUUGCAAAGAGGGUGUUAAAGUAUGUUAAAGGUACAACAAAUCUUGGCAUUUGGUAUUUAAAGUCAGGAGGAGUUAAGCUAAAUGGUUAUGCUGAUAGUGAUUGGGCAGGAAGUGUUGAUGAUAUGAAGAGCACUUCAGGUUAUGCAUUUACAAUCGGUUCAGGUGUCAUAUGCUGGAAUUCAAGAAAGCAAGAAGUAGUGGCACAAUCAACUACAGAAGCUGAGUAUAUCUCCUUAGCAGCUGCUGCAAAUCAAGCAAUAUGGUUGAGAAAAUUGCUUGCUGAUUUAGGCCGGGAACAAAGCUCACCAACUGAGCUUUACUGUGACAAUAAGUCAGCCAUUUCCAUUGCUCAAAAUCCUGUCCAUCAUGGCAGAACCAAGCACAUAAAUGUAAAAUUCCACUCCAUAAGGGAAGCUGAAAAGAAUUCACUUGUUAAGCUGCAUUAUUGCUCAACUGAUGAGCAACUUGCUGACAUAAUGACUAAAGGACUUCUUAAAUCAAGGCUGGAGUUCCUAAGGUUGAAGCUUGGUAUGUCCAAGGCAAAUCUCAAGGAGGAGUGUUAGAAUUCAUGAGAGUUUGCCUUUGAAAAUGUCUUAGUUAGACUUAGUCUCUGUUUUGCUAUCUCUGAUUUUCAGUUUUCUGUUAGUAGAAGUAGUCAUAGCAGCUGAGAGUUUUUAGCAUUUUCAAUUUGGUUGUAAGCCUAUAAAUAGGCAUUCUCUUCGGUGAAAUAUAGUGUGUGUCUUUCUCCAACUCAGUACUCUAAUAUUUUCUGAAAGUUUUAGUUCCUUUCUCCAGAUUUUUAACAAUAUUAAAUGAUCAGUUAUCACAAAAGUUUAAGCUUAUACAGAAUGAGUUAAGAAUAUUUAUCAAGUUAAUGGAAAUGAUAGGAACUAGUUAGUGAAAGAGAGUGACAAAGGAAAUUGACAGCAGAAAGCUAAUCCUUCAAAAGUAAAUGGAAUUAACAAAUUAACAAAUUACACUCAUUUCCACGCUGUUAAAGAAAAUGAAAUCGAUCUCCAUGUGACUUAGUCAAUUGGUUCAUCUCAAAGGUCUAGUUUUUAAACAUGUUGGUAUUAUAUGUAUGGAUAUACCCAAUUCAACUGCCAUUAAAAAAUAAAUAGAUAAAUAAAUAAAUAUACUCCUUCCAAUUGCUAUUAACAAUUAUUGGAAGUGGGUGACUAUCUGUAUGGUUGACCUGGUAAACGGAUUCAUCUCAAGAUGGCCCAAUUAGCUUUUCUAGAGAAGUAUCCAAUUAGCUUUUCUAGAGAAGUCAACACAGACAAUUUUAUUGUUUUAUUUUUAUUUUUUGAUUUUUCUUCUUCUACAACAAUUGGCUGUUCAUGAUUAGUCACAUAUUGGUUGUAACAUCAUCUUGAUAACCUACUUUUCUGCAUGGGAAUCAUUUUUUUUUUUUUUUUGGUUCUUUGACAGAGAUAAUGAGAUUGGUCCAACACUUAUUAAUGGCAACAUCAGUUUUGUUAGCCGUUUUCAUCUAUCUCCUAUGUAGAGGCCUUGUUCCUUAUGCCUAAUCUAUAAGAGCUAUCUUCUGUGUAUCAUAGAUGGAUCAUGGAUUAGAUAAUGCAUAUGCAAAACAUAGAAGAAAGAACACUGCAGGGAUCAUUUCCUAGGAAAAGCCUUUCCUCUCAAAGAAAAACUAAUCAGGAUUCAGUACUACUAGCAUACUUUUGAUCAAGUAGAUUUUAUGAGCUGAGCUGACUAAUAGAUCUUCUAUGCCUAGUCCCUUUGUUUUGUACCAAAAAAGGAAAAAAGGAAGUGAGAAAAUAAGAAAGGAGAAAUCAGAAUGAGAAUUUAGAAGUGCAUGAUUUAAAAUGCUUAAAAGUAUUCUUAGAUUAUGUGGAAGGAAUAGGGUCUAUGCAAACAAGUUAUAAUCAUCCCAAUUACUAUAAGAUAUAAAUUAGAAAGCUCUCAAGGUUUUGGUUUAGUCAUAACUUCUUGUUCAUAUCCAGAAGAUUCUCCAUGUAUUGUUCAAAAUAUUGUUUUGACUUAUCAACAAGAGGCAGAGUACUCUUCUUCCAAAACUGGAAUACAUUUGACUGGUCCUGUGUGCUAAGCAUGAUAAAACGAAACAGUCGACAACCCUAGAUUUUCUUAUUAUGUAAUUAAAUAGUCAGCAUUUCCAAAUCCCUCGUGUUUUCGGUAUAAAUACUCAACCUUGACUAAAAUUCUUCAUUCUCAUCCCACUCUAGCUUUUGUUUUCUUUAGCUUGUUAUAUAUUCAUCCUCUGAAGUUAGCAUGGCAAAGAUUUAUUCCUCUAAGGCCUCCAAAGUAAUGCUGACAGCUAUAUUUGUAGCAAUUCUAUUGCUUAUGUUCUCUAUGGCCACUACUGCAAUUCUACAGGACACAACAAUAGGAGUUCAGUAGGGUGAGUAGAAAAUUAUCAUAUGGAGUGUUCUAUUUUUAUUUCUCAAUGCCAAGAUACUUUUGCUUUUUGCUAUCAACUUUGCAUGCCUUUUGCCUUCUUCAUUUCUGUGAUUGUGUGUGAACUAUGUUCAGUUUCUAUGAGUUGGGGGUUUUAUUGAAUUCCAGCCAUGGAAUUGGUAACUGAGAAAUCUUCAAACAGAAGGGUCUACUCAUCUGUGUUCCUGACCGCCUAUCAUUUUUGUGUUGCAGGACGGAAGGCUCUAGGUUUAUCUGUUCAUGUUGAUUAUGAAGACCAGUAUGAUGCAGGAAGGGGAGGAUACGGCUCAACAAGUCCAUAAUCGUGGGAUUGAGUUCCCAAGAGCUGUUUUCGGGAAGGUUGCCAAAUAAAUCUAAGAAUUUCUCUGUGUUUCUGAGUGAUAAUAUAUGGUUCAUGUAUGUUAUUUUACAAAGCAUUUGUACCUUAAAGAAGCACAGAAAGUUGGUGUUAGUCUCUAUAGUGUUGUGUUCCUGCAGUUGUCUUGAAAUUAUAAAUGAAGAGCUUUUCUCCCAGUUCCAUUGUAAUUCUCUUUAGUACUCUACAGAGGAGUCCUACCCAAAUCCCACACCAAAUUGUUAGUUUACAAAAGUCUAUUACCCAUGGAAAAGCUGGGAGUUCUUCAUCCCACACCAUAUUUCAUUUGAUAGAGACUGCAAUAAUUUUAUAAACAUUAUUGGGAGAACCUUAUUUUAAUUUAAUUUUUUAUUUUAUUGCCGUACAUAUGCAAAAAUCCCACACAUUCUGUGUUCAACCGAAUCACAUUGUUAUAUGGAACCAAAAACCCGCUGUCGUUUAACUCCACGGAGAAAGUGUAAAACAGUAUUGCAACUGCUGAUAAGUGAUGAUGGCAUCUGCCAUUGAUGCAAAUCUGUUUUCUUGUCACUUCUUCAGUUUUCUUGUCCACCAAAAGAGGAUUGAAAGUAUUUUAUGUCCUUAGUUUCUUCCUUUUAGGAUCAGCUGAUCCAAUUCUCUUGGGUCGGUUUCUCAAUUGUGAGAGCCAGAGGUUUUAGAGGUUUCGAGUCUUUUGACAUGAUGAAAAUGACCCACAAGUCCUGUAGGGGUUUUCAACUGAGGAGCAGGAUUUAAAUUUCAAUGACGUGUAGAAAAAGAAAAUUUUGUUUUUUUCUGCAACCAGCAACCCAACUAAAAGAAAGCAGGUUCAGUCAACUUUAUUAUGAAUGGAGCCUGUAUUACAAAAGAAAGUGAAGCGUUAAGACAAAUAUUGGGACCCAUUUAAUUCUGCUGCUUGGCGUUUUCAGAGUGAUUUUGUUGGUAAUUUGCUGGAUUUUGUGGCGCUUUCUCAAGGGUAGGUGUGAUUUUUUGGUUUCUGAAGGAGAGAGACAGAGGGAUAUCAUAAAACAACGUGGCUAAAACUUCUCUCUUUCUCACAAUAAGUUUAGGCGUUUAGGGUUUUUGCCUCUAAUUGGCAGCAGCAUGGAGCUGUGCGGGAGAUGGACAAAUAUGAGAAAAAAUCUAACCCACCUGCAUGGAAGCCAUUUUUGAGCGUCUGAGCUCUCCUUUUUUAUCAAUUGGAUGCUGUUUAUGUAGGGCUUAACCAAUCCAAGUUGAAGCCCUAGCUCAAACCCUGAUGGAGCUAAUUAGUCUUAUGUCCAGAAAGAGCUUACUUUUUUUACUUGAGCCUUGAAAAAGUUCAGCAGAUGGAGAGUUACAUUUUCCUAAUCCUACAUUUGCUAGUUAUAAUUACAAGUCCCCAUCUCUCCUUGUAAAUUCUCAGUUUAUAACAAUAUUAGCUAUCUCAUCCUAGCCCAAUACAGCUUGCUCUAAAUCUCUAAUGCCUCCUAAUUCAUGGUAACGGAUGCUUUGCUUUGCUUAGGUAUAUCAACUUUACAUAAACAAAAAUAACAUUCCAAUUGGAAUGUGUUCGAUUAGUUAUGCAUUUAACUACAUGCACUUGUACUUUGCAGGAGAAAUCGAGGGCUUUCCAUGCAUUAAUUGAAUAAGGCUAGUGACUAGUCUAAUGAGUAUCCAAUGGAUGAGUCAUAAGAAAAGAGGAAAGAGAUAUUUUCCUGGUUACUGGAUGAGGUAGAGGCUGAAUCUUUACGCUUUACUUGAUGCCUGAAAAAGAUUCUAUGGAAAUCAUUUCUUGAAAAUAUUACAGUAAGGGGGUUGUAUGUUUCUUCCUCUUGGUUUUGAAGUUGUGGUUUCCUACAUUGGUGGAUGUCAUUGGCAUUAUCUGACUCUGUUUAUCUAUAUUUCUUUUCUUCUUUGCAUUUAUUUUUCUGGCCCCUUUCCUUCUCUUGUUUAUGUCACAUAUUCUGUUGAUUAUCUUUUAGAAUGCUAUGUUUAUACAAAUAACAGUGUGGCUUAGAACUGUUGUAUGUUUGCAGUCUAUUGCUCAAACCAACUGUCUGAAUACAAUGGUUGGGCAAUAACCUAAUAAUUGAAAGUUGUGAAGAAUUCCCAUAUUGCUUUUGUGUGAAUCCCAUGGUUGAUGUUUUUUUUUCAUCGUUUUGGAAGGGGUCUGAUAUAUAUUUUCAAUAGGGUAAGUGUGAGGCAUACUUUCUGUCCCCAACCAGAUCCAUCAUUUUGAUUUAAGAAUUUUACAUUUGUAGAUAGACCAAGAUGCUUUCGUUUUGCUGUUAACACAUUUCCAAACAAUUCAGAUAAAGUGUACCAAGAAACAUCAUCAAUAGAAAUAUCCAUAUUUUCAGUCUACAGAUUAGGGACUUGCAGCUUUAAUUAAUAGGACAUAAUGUUGAACAUAAAAAUUCUGCAGUAUCAUGAAAUAAUAUAGCUCAUAAAUCCAGUAGAAAAGCUUUAAUAUCAUGCUACUUUGUCAAUGCUUCUCUCAUGGUUGAACGAUCUGUGGUUGAAUGAGCAGCACAUGACAAACCAACAUGUAUUAUGGCAGUAAUACACUCUUCAGUUUUGAUUUUCCAAUGGGACAAAGUAUUGCUGCUAGUACCGAUGCUGUUAAAGUCACCAGAAGAACUAGUGAAGAUGCUAUUGUCUGUACAAGCAUCAUUGUUAAAAAGCCGUUUGUCAGCCAUAUCUAAAAAUUGAUUUAUGAGCAGAGCGGAUGCCAACUUAUGCUGAUCUAAACCUUCCUGAAACAUUUCAUCUGUGGGUUUCUUUGCUGUGAAUAUCUCAAGCAGCAAAAUUCCAUAGCUGUAGACAUCCCUACUUGUUGAAAUCCUUCUACCUAAACCACACUCUACAACAAAAUAACAUCACAUUAGAGUAAUGAAGACCCACACUCAAAAGUGGAAUGUUCGAUGCCGAAUGUUCCUCAACACUUCACACUCUGCAUUGAAAUUCUCAGAAGCUUCACCUUGUUGUAAGUCGAUAACCUUCACUGCAAAAAUGGUGUUGACCCCAUUUUCACCAGUUCUGAAAACUCCUUUAUAUACAGAUCCAAAGCCUCCCUUUCCUACCCAAUUUUCUGCGGAGAAAUCAUUUGUAGCAUGCUGGAUGUCAGAGUAUGAUAUCUUUGGCGGCAACGCCUUGAAACAAGGAGAUGGAAAAGUUGUUCCUCUCCUCUUUUUCUUGUUUUGGGUGAUCAGCAUCCAUGUGAUACAGGCUGCACACAUUAACAGGGUAAAGCUGGCAACUGGCAUCACAAUCUUGAGUAUCAAAUGCCUAUUUGACUUCACUUUUGUGAUACAUGUGGGGAUUCUCAGCUUUCCUGCAGCCUCAGGGUCACUACCACAGAGCUUAUUAUUUCCUGUAAGAGAAAGCCAGGUAAGGUUCAUGAAAACACCUUUUCUUGGAACUGGUCCUUCCAAGUCAUUGAAAGACAAAUUUAAGAUCUGAAAAUACAAAAGAUCCUGUAACUCUUCGGGGAUUUGUCCAGUCAGACUGUUGGAAGAAAGAUCCAAGCUCUCCAAUGCUAUUAAUUUACCCAUCGACACUGGUAUGGCACCUGAGAGUUUGUUUGUGGCAAUAUUGAAACUACGCAGACUUAAGCAAGAACCAAUUGUUGUUGAAAUAUUUCCUGACAGCUGGUUAUUAGAAACAUCCAGGACCUCAAGGUGUUCCAAACUUUCAACUAGGGCGGGCUGAGAACCACUUAGUUCAUUAUGCGCCAAAUAUAUCUCGAUUAUAUCAUGAAGUCUGAAAAUCUCCUUGGGUAUGCUACCAUUGAGCUUGUUCUGUCUUAGACCCAGUCUCUUUAAAUUCUGGCACUCUCCAAUACUUGUGGGGAUUCUACCAGAGAACUGGUUGUACCCCAUUGUCAGCAGAAAGAGUCGUGUAAGAUUGCCAAAGAUAUCUGGAAUUUCUCCGGAUAACAUAUUAUUAUCAACCAAUAAUCUCUGUAGUUGCUGAAGUUUUCCUAGGGAAUUUGGUAUCAUACCUGUGAAAAGAUUUUGGUGUAUGUCCAAGGCCCAGAGAUUUUGAAAUCUUUCAAAUCCUCGGGGAAUGCUACCAGUCAGAAAAUUGCUGCCAAAGCAAAAUUCAAGGAGAUGAGUAGAAAGAUUCGCAACUGAAGUUGGAAGCUCACCAGCUAGCUGGUUAUCAUUAAGAUAUAGAAACUCCAACUGUGUACAGUUUGCUAGUGAAUUAAAUACCUGAAGAUUAAGCUUGGUGGUGGAAGAGAGAUUAUUCAGGCCAAGAUGUAGGAGUCUAAGAUUAUUCAUGUUACCAAGUAGAGGAACUGGCCCUUGAAAGUGGUUUGAAGAAAAGUCUAGGACUUGAAUUUGUGAAGCAUUAGAGAAAGAACUGGGAAUUGGCCCUUCCAGCUGGUUAUGUGCUAAGUAGACUUCUGCCAGGUUUGGAAGUACAAGGCCCAUAUCAGUUGGUAGUUCUCCAACAAGCAUAUUUUCUGUUACAGAUAAGUAGAUCAAAGAAGAGAUGUUGUAGAUGGAAUAAGGGAUCUUUCCCUCAAACUGAUUCUCUGAGAGCUGAAGUCUUUGAAGAUUAUGGAGAUGACCCAGCUCAUUUGGGAUUUCGGCGAAGAAUUGGUUUCUUGCUAGGCUGAGAACAGUAAGAGAGGUGAGGUUUCCAAAAUGUUGGAGCUAUUACACCUGUAAGGUUAUUCGCUGCAACGUCAAGAAUUCUGAGUCUCGGCAGAUCUCCAAGUUCAGAUGGAAGGUUCCCAAUAAGUUGGUUGUGCUCAAAAUAAAUCUCCUCAAGGUUAUAACAAUGAGAAAGACCAACUCGAAUUGUAUCAUUAAUGGAGUUUCUUGCAAGGUUAAUAUUCUGAAGGAGUGACAGAUGGCUAAAAUCCAGUUGAAGUUGGCCAUAAAAUGAAUUGUUGGAAAGAUCUAGCAAUUGGAGGGAAGUGAGGUUGGAGAGUCGAGGGUGUAUCAUACCAGAGAGCCCAUAACCAGCAAGACGAAGUGACAGAACUCUAGUUCCGUUGUUGGCACAAGUGACACCAAACCAAGUGCAGACCCAGAAAGAACAUUUUGGGAGUCAGAGACUACGGACUUGAAAGAUAGAAGUGCAAGAGUAUCUGUAUCAGCAUCAACAGCCCCUACCCUGUUAGUGCUGCAAUAUAGAAUAAUUUGAAAGGGGAGGAGGAGAAGCAAUGGGAAAUGGAGACGUUUCUUCAUUUUUGAAAGAAUGGUCAUUGAAUUCAAGAUUUGCAGUCUAUAUUUUAGCUGCCAGCACAUGUUAAGGCCUGAUGUGUGUAGGAGGAUAACCAUUGAAAAGUUGAAUUCAAUUAUCAAACAAGGGCAAAUUAUUUAUUAAUCAGUCCCUGUUAAGAGCAAUGUAACUUCCUCCUAACCAUGUCUCCAACGAUUUUAUCCUAUCUGACAAGAUAUGAAAAUGACCUUAAAUUUAUAUAAUUAUUUUCCAGACCUAGCUUCUGUCUUAUUCUUCAUCCUUAGAUUCCAUAAUGAGGGAAAUGCCAUUUUUCUGUAUUAAGAAUCAAGAGGGAGAGUCAAGCUUAGCAGCAGUGGUGAUGGCUGAAAUCAUUUAACCAAUUCUGAUUUCUGCAAAAGAAACUCAUUUCUGUUGAUUAAUUGGUCGAUUGUGCUCCCUUUUCUCUUACUAUGCAGGGUAUACUUGAGAACAAUGACCUCUGGUGCAUAGUUUACCNNNNNNNNNNNNNNNNNNNNNNNNNNNNNNNNNNNNNNNNNNNNNNNNNNNNNNNNNNNNNNNNNNNNNNNNNNNNNNNNNNNNNNNNNNNNNNNNNNNNNNNNNNNNNNNNNNNNNNNNNNNNNNNNNNNNNNNNNNNNNNNNNNNNNNNNNNNNNNNNNNNNNNNNNNNNNNNNNNNNNNNNNNNNNNNNNNNNNNNNNNNNNNNNNNNNNNNNNNNNNNNNNNNNNNNNNNNNNNNNNNNNNNNNNNNNNNNNNNNNNNNNNNNNNNNNNNNNNNNNNNNNNNNNNNNNNNNNNNNNNNNNNNNNNNNNNNNNNNNNNNNNNNNNNNNNNNNNNNNNNNNNNNNNNNNNNNNNNNNNNNNNNNNNNNNNNNNNNNNNNNNNNNNNNNNNNNNNNNNNNNNNNNNNNNNNNNNNNNNNNNNNNNNNNNNNNNNNNNNNNNNNNNNNNNNNNNNNNNNNNNNNNNNNNNNNNNNNNNNNNNNNNNNNNNNNNNNNNNNNCCCACAGCUCCAGCAGAAAUUUCUUGAUCUCUUGCAACUUGGUUAAAGUUUCUCUCAUGGUUAAACGUUCAUUAGGGGAAUGAUCUGCACAAAACAAACCAACUCUUAUUAUGGCUGUCAGGCACUCUUCACUUUUAUUUGGCCCGAUGCUGAUGGUAUUGCUUGUGCUGCUGUGCUUGCUGUUUCCUGAGGAACUGACGAAGGGGCUGCAAAGCUCUGAAGAACCAGUAUGGCUGAAAAGCCUAGGAUCAACAAUUCCUGAAACUUGAUUUGCUUCCACUGCCAAUGCAUAUUUUUUCUGGUUUAGGCCUUGCUGAAACACCUCAUCAGUGGGCUUCCUAGCUGUGAAUAUCUCAAGCAGCAGAAUUCCAUAACUGUAGACAUCUCCAUUUGUUGAAGCUUUUCCACCCAAACCAUACUCUAAUUAAAACAAAGUGACAGCAGAUUAGAAUAUCAACAUCCAGUCUAAACAACUAAUUCGUUUUGCAAAAAGUAAAGAAAACCCAAGGGAGUCAAGUCCUGAUUUUGUUUCUAAAAUUUUGGUUUGUUUGGUUGUUUCAUAAGAAGUUUUGCAAGAUCAGUUUUGAUCAGUACCUGGAGCAAUGUAGCCAAUUGAGCCCUUUAGUCCUAUUGUGCUGCUUUCACUCUGUGAUGGAUUUUGAGAAAGAAACCUUGCCAAUCCAAAGUCUCCCACAUGAGCAGCCAUAUCAUCAUCCAAAAGCACAUUUCCAGGUUUCAAAUCACAAUGGACUACAGGUGGGUCACAGUCAUGGUGCAGGUAAUCCAUGGCAGAAGCUAUGUCAAUGGCUAUGUUCAGUCGCUGGAUUAAGCUCAGACUCGACCUAGAUUGGGAGUCUUCCGGGUACAACCAAUUGUGUAAACUACCAUUAGACAUGAACUCCAUAACCAAGGCCUUGAAUUCACCUCCGCUGUGAUCAAUGCUAGAGCAUGAAGUAACAACCUUCACAAGGUUCCGAUGCCGAAUAUUCCUCAGAGCUUCACAUUCUGCAUAGAAACUCUCAGAAGCUUUGCUCUGCUGCAGGUCAAGGACCUUUAUAGCAAGCGUGCUGCCGACUCCAUCUUCACCAGUUCUGAAGGCUCCUUUAUAAACAGACCCGAAGCCUCCUUUUCCUAUUAAAUUUUCUGCUGCAAAACGGUCUGUUGCUUGCUGGAUUUCAAAAUAAGACAUCUUUUCAGGAAACCCCUUGAAAGGAUGGGAAAAGAAACUUUCCACUGUCCUUUUCGUUUUCCUUCUCCGGGAGACCCAUGCCCACAUGGAAUAGAAGAUCACACACAUUAACAAAGUGAAGCCCACAACUGCAAUGAUGAUGGUGAGUCCAAAAUACUUGCUUUGCUUCUUCUUUGCAAUACAUGUAUGGAGUCUCAGCUUGGCUGCAACCUCUUGGUCACUUCCACAAAGCAUAUCAUUUCCUAGGAGAGAAUCCCAGCUAAGAUUAAUGAACACCCCAUUCCUCGGAACUUGUCCUUCCAAGUCAUUGAAAGACAAAUUUAAGCUUUGCAAAACCUUCAGACUCCCCAAAUCUUCAGGGAUUGGGCCAGAGAGAUUGUUAGAAGAAAGAUCCAUGCUCUCCAGUGCCACUAAUUUGCCCACUUUAUCCGGUAUUGAGCCCAUUAUUUCAUUUCUUGCCAUGCUGAGAGUUUGCAAACUUAAGCAGGCACCAAUUGUUUCUGGGAUGUUUCCGGACAACUGGUUGUCAGAAACAUCCAAUAAGGAGAGCUGCUUCAGGCUACCGAUUUCAAUGGGGAGAGAACUAUGCAGAGCAUUUUUUGCUAAACGCAAUUCACUGAGACCGGAGAGAGAACAAAUCUCUCUUGGUAUGCUGCCAUUGAGCCUGUUCCCGGCUAGACCCAGAGUGUUUAAUUGAUGGCAUUCUCCAAUACUCACAGGGAUUCUACCAGAAAACUGGUUGUAUCCCAGUGUGAGCAUAAACAAUUGUGUAAGAUUCCCAAAGAUAUUAGGAAUUUCUCCUGAGAACAUGUUCUGGUGGACAGAAAUUCUCUGCAGUUUAUUCAGUCUUCCUAUGGAAUGUGGCAACUCAUCUGUGAAAAGAUUUUUCUGCAUAGUCAAGGAUAUGAGGUUCUGAAACUUGUCAAUUCCUCUGGGUAAUUUCCCAGUAAAGAGAUUGCUUUCAAUGCAAAAAUGUUGCAGAUGGGCUGACAGAUUUGCAACUGAACUUGGAAGGUCGCCGGCUAGUUUGUUGGAAUCCAGAGUGAGGCUUUCCAAUAGGGUACAGUUUGUGAGGGAAUUGAAUACCUGAAGAUUCAGCUCUGUGGUGGAAGAAAGAUAAUUCGUUCCUAGAUUUAGCAUGAUAAGUUUAUUCAUGUUCCCAAGGAAAGGAAUUGACCCUUGAAAUAAAUUUGAAGUGAGGUCAAGGACCUGAAUUUGUGAAGCAUUGUUUAAAGAAUUGGGUAUCAAUCCUUCAAAGCUGUUCUCAGCCAACAAGAGUUGCCUGAGAUUAGGGAGAGCAAGACCCAUAUCAGUUGGUAGUUUUCCAACAAGAUGAUUUUGGGUUAGUGACAGAAAAGAUAAAGAAGAAAUGUUAUAAAGUGAAUUCGGUAUCUGGCCAGAAAAUUGGUUCUCUGAAAGGCGAAGAGAAACUAGAUUAUGGAGAUUACCCAACUCCUUUGGAAUUUCGCCACGAAAAUUGUUUCUUCCUAGGUUUAGAUGGGUAAGAGAGGUGAGAUUUCCAAAAGUUGGAGGGAUUGCACCACUAAGAUUGUUGGCAUACACAUCCAUAAAUUUCAGUCUAGACAGAUGGCCUAAUUGAGAUGGAAGGGAGCCAACAAGUUGGUUCCUCGUUAAAUUGAUCUCUCUGAGAUUAUAACAAUGAGAUCUAAAACUUGAAGGGAUGUGAGGUUGAAGAGGUGUGGAGGUAUAAUACCAGAAAGGCCAAGUCCGGGCAGGUGGAGAGAUUGAACAGUGGUUCUGUUCCUAGUGCAAGUGACCCCAAACCAAGUGCAGUGAGAUGAAGUGAAGUUCCAACCUGAGAGAGCAUUUUGAGGGUCAGAGACUGUGGAUUUGAAAGACAGAAGCGCCUGUUUGUUGGGGUUAGCAUCUAGAGCUUCCACCCCGCUCAUGCUGGAGUGUAGAAUGAUUUGGAAAUGGAGGAUGAACAGUGAGAGAUGGAGAAGCUUCUUCAUUUUCAAAAUGAAGAUGAUGAGUGUAGGCUCCAGCAUUUGAAGUUUACAACCAUCCACCAUGUGUCAGAAAAUGCUUGUGAGCAAUUUAUAUAGUUGCCAUGGAUAGCAUCAUGCAUAGUGACAUAACAGUGGGAGGCUGCAGCCAUCCGACGACUUGGGAGUCUUUCCCUUCCCCCUUGGUACCAAUGGAAAAUAUUCAUGAAUUAUUUGAAAGUACAGGGGUUUGUUUGACAAUAUUUGACUCCAGAUAUUAUUUGAUAAGUGGUGUUUAUUUUGUGACUAAAUAAAAAAAUAAAAUAAAAUAUUUGAUUUUUUUUUAUUAAAUGAAAAGGAAUUUAUUGAUAUCAACCCAUAUAGUUAAAGUGAAUUUGUUGUCAAUAAUAUUAAUUUAGUUAUAUUGGUUGAAAAAAUAAAAAAACCAAAUAUUUGGAUAAUAUUAAAAAAGAAAAUAUUAAGAAAUUUUGGAUGGUAUGCAAAAAAAUAAAUAAAUAAAUAAAAUAUUCAAGUUAUAGUUGGUUCCAAAACCAAAAGUGAGAAAAAUUAUUUUAUUACAUUUAUAUAAGAAAAGAAAAUACUAAAAGCCUUUGACAAUGAAAAUGCUAAAAGAAAAUGUUCAUCUCCAUUUUUCUUAAUCCUAUAAUUGAUUCUUGAAAAAAUUGAGGAAAAACAUAAGAGGGAAAAAAUAGAGAAGGAAAAUAUAAAAAGAAAAAUAAAAAUAUAAGUGAAGGAAAAGUAAAAAAGAGAUUUAAAAUUAAUAAAGUAUUUUCACAUUUUUUUAUAUUUUUUUACUCGUUUUUUAAUUUAUUUUUUGUGAUAUUUUUUAGGAACUAAACAUAAUAUAAAUGAAUGGGGAAAAAUUUGUCAAGAGAACAUUCCACAUCUAUUCAACGUUUUCUUAUCUCAAUUGUUUUUAUAUCUAUAUAUAUAUAUAUAUAUAUAUAUAUUUAUUGAUUUAUCUUUUUCUUCUUUUCCAUCUUUAAUUUUCUUUCUCCUUAAUUAAAACUUCCAAAAACCAAACAUAACAUAACUAGACAAAAUAAUAAUAAUAAUAAUAAUAAUAAUAAUAUUUGAAACUUUUUUAAAUCACUUUCCUUAGGAAAUGGAAAAUGGGAAAAAAUUUAAAGAGUGUGCAUUCCUUAAUAAUUUAAAAUUCUCUCUCAAUUCUCAGCUAAACAAGAGAAAUCUUAUAGUUUUUCCUACAUGUUUUUUUUUUGUUCUCUUUCUAACUCUCCUUUAUGCUAUGUUUUUCUCAAAAUUUUCAAGAACUAGACCAAACCCAAGAAAGAGAAAAAAAAUGUUAAAAAAAUAAUUUAUGACAUGAAAAAAAAAAAAGAUAAAGAAAGAAAAUACUAAAUUAUUAAGUUCUUAUUUCUUUUGUUAUUAAAAAAAAAAAAUUCUUGAUUUUUCUUCCUCGUAAGAGUUGAAGAAAGAAAAAGGCUCAAAGAAAAGAUUUGAACUUUGUUUACAAGUUUAAAAAUUUAAUUCAAUUUUCUUUAUAAUAAAUGAAAGAACUUGAAAAUGUAAAACUCAAUAAAUAAUUUUUAUUAAAUUUAGUUUUUUUUUUUUUCAUACAAAUGGAGAGAUUUUAGAUUCUUUACCACAAAAAUUUUCCCUUUUCCCAAAGCUCACCUUGAAAUGAAAGAUAUCAUGGUAUGUUUAGGUUGGGAAAAAGUCGGAAAAAAAAAAGAUAUAUAGAGGGGGAAAAAAAAAAAAAGAAAGGAAAUUGUUGUGGAAGCCCCAACUUUCCCUUCUCAUUUUCACUUUCGUCACAUUUAUUCAGAGAAGAUGAUGGACAAGAUUAUUAACAUUUUCACUCUUCUCUUUAUUAAUUUUUUUUUAAAGGAAAAUAGAAAAAAAGACAUAUAGAGAAAUAUAUAAAAAAUAGAUUUGAGGUUAAUAUUUUAUUUUAAUUAAUGCUUCUUCAAACUAAUUUCUCUUAAUUUUUUCUCUUUAUAUAAAGAUUAAAUAAAUUAAAAUUACAUAAAAUUUUAAUCAUAUUUAAUUGUUGUCAUAGUUUUUUUUUUUUUAAAUAAUAAUCAAAUAUGAGAAUUAUUAUUAUUACUAUUAUUUACUAUUUCCUAGCUAGUUUCCUCUCAUCCAACAUAGGGUAUUUUUCUUUUCUUUAGGUGAUAGUUUCCAUGAAUCUCCCACAACCUAUGUUUCAUAGAUAUAGGGGUCCUACACUCCAUUUUCUACAAACAAAUCAUCUAAACAUCCUUCCUCUUCCUUGGCCUUUUCCUCUCAUGAGAUUCUUACAACUGGCUAGGCCACCAUGCAUGCUCUCCAUCCAUCAUUUUCAAAGACAUUUCUAAGCUUGUUUGUCUCUUAAUUUAAGUCAAGAAAGGACAACUCCUUCAACGGACCUUAACAGGUUGUUUGUUUCUUUAGGUGAUAGUUUUCGUGAAUCUCCCACAACCUGCAACUCACAAGAAGUGGAGAUGAAAGAGAGGUGCAAUACUCACUUGACUAAGAUUCCUGAAUGUGUUUCAUAGAUAUAGGGGUCCUACACUCCCUUCUCUAUAAACAAGUCAUCUAAACAUCCUUCCUUUUCCUUGGCUUUUUCUUCUCAUGAGAUUCUAACAACUGGCUAGGCCGCCAUGCAUGCUCUCCAUCCAUCAUUUUCAAAGACAUUUCUAAGCUUGUUUGUCUCUUUAUUUAAGUUAAGAAAGGACAGCUCCAUCAGCGGACCUUAACAGCUUGUUUGUUUCUUUAGGUGAUAGUUUCCAUGAAUCUCCCACAACCUGCAACUUACAAGAAGUGGAGAUGAAAGAGAGGUGCAGUACUCACUUGACUAAGCUUCCUGAAUGUGUUUCAUAGAUAUAGGGGUCCUACACUCCCUUCUCUAUAAACAAGUCAUCUAAACAUCCUUCCUUUUCCUUGGCUUUUUCUUCUCAUGAGAUUCUAACAACUGGCUAGGCCGCCAUGCAUGCUCUCCAUCCAUCAUUUUCAAAGACAUUUCUAAGCUUGUUUGUCUCUUUAUUUAAGUUAAGAAAGGACAGCUCCAUCAGCGGACCUUAACAGCUUGUUUGUUUCUUUAGGUGAUAGUUUCCAUGAAUCUCCCACAACCUGCAACUUACAAGAAGUGGAGAUGAAAGAGAGGUGCAGUACUCACUUGAAUAAGCUNNNNNNNNNNNNNNNNNNNNNNNNNNNNNNNNNNNNNNNNNNNNNNNNNNNNNNNNNNNNNNNNNNNNNNNNNNNNNNNNNNNNNNNNNNNNNNNNNNNNAGGGACAUACAGACGACCAGAAGGAGAUCGCGGCGGGAAGGAGGAGAGGAGGACGCCAUCCUUAAGAACACCACUACCAGAUUUCAUAGAGCGAUACUAUGAUACCCAUACAGGCCACACACGAAUUUUAGAGAUAAAAAGGCAUAAGUAGGCUGCAGAUGGGGAUUCGGAAGAGGUGCAGCUGCACUAUGUGAGAUGGACGUACACACACGUUACAUCACGCAUGGUGAGGGAGUUCUCUAGGCGGCCUUUUCUGUUAUUAAGUGGCAGCCGCAUGGACUGCAUGAGGAGGGUUGACGCAUCAUAGCCACCUUCUUUCCUCCACUGAUAGUGGGCCACACAAUAAGGCAGCCAUCACGCAGCCAUAUGGGAGGAGGCAGCAGCCACUUUUGGAUAUUUAUUUAUUUAUUUAUUUUUUGUCUCCAGAAACUCCAUUGCACAGCCCAUACACGCACCGAUAGAGACUCCACGGGUAGCACUUCUGGGUGAGGGAUAGCAGCACACGGUUUGAUUUUUAUGGUUGAGCAACUUACACGUACGCACAGGCCAUGGGCGCUCCAUUGAUAGGUUAGCAUCAUGUUCGUUUGAAAAAUUAAAACUUUGUUUAGUUGAGAUUCACGGUUUUAGCUUAAAAGUUGGAAUUGUAUUUGGUUUCAUUUUGAUCUAUUGUGCUAAUCCAAAAAGUUUGGAUUUUACUUAAUUUAAUUUUGAUUCAUGAUGUUGGUUUGGAAAAAUACGAUUUUGUUUAGUUUUAACCUAUCUUGUUUAGUUAUAGUUUUAUAGUUUUAGCUCUUUACUUCAAUUAAUUUCAUAUGAUCGAGCUUCCUUUUUUUUUUUUUUAAGUUAUAUAAUUGAAGUUUGAGUUCAUUUUUUUUGGAUUAGGUAUUUUUAUUAUUUUAGUUUAUUUAUCUAAUGGUUUUUGAGUGAUAAAGUUCAUCUUUUAAUUUUGUUUGACCUAGUUUUAAUUCAUCUUGCUUGGCUAUAGUUCUAUAGAUUUAUUUUUUUGGUUUAGUGAAUAUAUGUGAUCAAGCUCAUAUCUUUAGUGUUGUUUUAAAUUUAGUACUAAUCCAUAUGUUUACUUUAGGUGUCUUCACAAUUUUAGUUCCUUAGUUUAAUAAAUUCCAUGUGAUCAAAUUCAUCUUGUUUUAGUUUAGUUGAAUUCAUCUAUUUAUUUUAAAUACUUUUAUAGUUUUAGCUCAUUAAUAAAAUUGAUGAGAUGUUUUACUAUUCAUGUUUGUUUUAGUUUAUUUUAAUUUAGUUUGGUUCAUCUAUUUAGUUGUAGAUGAUAUAUAUAUAUAGCUUUAGUUUAUUAAUAAAAUUUAUUAGGCGUUUGGAAGUUCAUGUGUUCGGUUUGCUUUAAAAAAAAUGCUUAGGAUGUUUUUGGUUUGGUAAUUGAUGUCAGUCUGCUAUAAAAAAAGUCCUCGGGUUGCUUAAGUUUGAUGAAAUUAUAUUAGUUUGCCUUUAAAAAUUCUUGAGAGUUUCUCGUUUGGUAAUUGAUGUUAGUGUGCUUCGUAAAAAGAUGUUGGGGAUGUUUUUAGUUUGAUAAAUUUAUUUUAGGAUGUGUUUUUAAAAAUGCUUAGGAUUUUUUUUUUUUUUUUUUUAAAGUUUGAUGAAUUGAAUAUAGUUUUCUUUAAAAAAAAAAAAAAAUUCUUGGGACGUUUUAGUUUUAUAAAUUAAGAUUAGUUUGUCUCUUGGGAUGUUUUAGUUUUAAAUGGAGUUAAUAGAAGACAAAUUCUUGAAGACAAAUAUAUAUAUAUAUAGUAGUUAGCAUUUACCUUAUCGGUUUUGGUAUUCAUGCAAAUGGGAAGAGAUGAAGAGGUUCACAUGAUAUUCAUUAUGUAAAGGUGUGGUCCAUCAACCUUCCUUUUGCAUGGUUACUUAAAAACUCUUUUUCCUUUUAUUUAUUUUUUAUUUUUUAUUUGAGUAGAAUACAUGGACAAAACCCAUAAUCCAGAUCUUAAAUCAAUUGCUCCAAAUCUUUUCCAAAUCCACGCCCCAUCUCACUUUAAUCAAUCGCUUUAGACGGUUAAACUAUUAGUUGAUGGUUAAAAUAAGAAGUAAAAACCUAAAUGUUACAAUUAUUGCUCUAGAAUAUUUAAAAUAAUCAUUACUAUCAAUAUAAUAAGAUCUCCACUCAAAUAACUCUUAUAGUAAAUAUAUUUUAUUAGAAACUUCCUACUAUCCUAUAAAAGCUCAAAGAAAGGUCAUUUAAGCAAGUUCUGACACUCUCUCUCACCUAUGCCACAGAAUUCCUUGUCACUCUUUUUGGCCGGAAUCACUCGAUCUACUCUUAGAACUACCAUAGUGCGUUCCUAAGCUCCCAACUAGCCUCAUUCUCUUGUAGUCCCUUCCACUUAACUAAGAAUUCUGUCAUAAAAGGUACACAUCAUCUUUUGAUGACUUAAUCUAUGAUGAAAUGAUGUGCCUCUUUGUCAUAAGAGGUUACAACGAUUGUAGGCACCCUUUUUUAUAACCCUUGGCUUGUAUCAACCUUGUCUAUGGUAAGGCUUCAAGUAGCUAGAUGGAAGAUAGGAUGAAUCUUCAACCUCAAAGGCAACUUGACCCUAUGGGAGACCUUGCUGACGAGUCCUAACACAAGAAAGAGGCUUUCAUAUCUCUUCACAAGGCCUUUGUGCACAGGCCUUAGGGACUUAAACUAUUGAGAAAGGAGCUCAACAAAUGCCAAGUCUCCAACUUGAUGCUCCAUGUGUUGUCUCUUCUUGUCAGAUCAUUUUUUCAUCUUCUUAGUGGCUUUGUCUAAGUAUGAGCGAGCUAUGUCAGCUUACUCUUGUCAUCCCUUAUCAAACUUGAAAGCUCCUAUCACUAGUGUGUGGGGAACCAAAGACUACUACAUCGUAGCUAGCUCAAAUGGGCUCUUAUUAGUGACCUCACUUCUUUGCAAGUUGUAAGAGCAUUGGGCCACAUUCAACAACUUAACCUAACCUCAUUGAUUGUCACUCAUAAAGUGACUCAAGCAUAACUCCAACAAAGCGUUCACCUUUUUUGUUUGCCCAUCCUUUUGUAGGUGAAAGCUAGUAGAGAAGUGAAACUCUGAUCCCAUCAACUUGAAGAGCUUCGUUUAAAACUUUCUAGUGAAGUGCAGGUGACGAUCAUUAAUGAUGUGUUUAGGCAAUCCCCAAUACUUGAAAACAUGCAUCAGGAAUAGCCUCAUCUUCUUAUCUACGGUAUAAUCUGAAGGGGCUACUAGGAAUAUUGUAGUGUAUUUAAAGAACCUGUCCACCUCCACAAUGAUUAAGCCAUGUCCUUCUAACUUUUGUAACCCAAUGAUGAUGUCCAUGGUGACACUCUUCUAUGGAUGCUCCAUGAAAGGUAAUGGCUCCAACAUGCAUUUUAGUUGUUGUUGCUCUACCCUGUCUUGUUGGCUCACAAGAAAAGUCUUCAUGUAAGCCUCAACUUCAUCUCGCAUCUGAGGCCAAUAUUAUGCAAACUCAAGUAAUGCUCUCAUGCGUCGUUGCCUAGGGUGCCCAACCCAUUUAAUAUAAUGGCACUCCUUAAUCAAGUUUCUUCUCAUGUUUUCCUAUUUAGGCAUGUAGAGUCAUCUCCCUUUGGUGUCAAGUAGGUUGUCUUCCACCUAGAUUGCUUAGUUUUCCCCUCAUGGGCUAAAGUGAUGAGACUCUUAACCACAAAUCAUUUUAUAGCCCUUCCUUUAAAAGAUCCACCAACUCUCCUUAGGGAUAGCUAGUCAUGGAUGCUAGCUUCACCUUAUAGCUUAGGGUGUCGACCACCUAAUUUACACUCCUUGACUUAUACUCCAUCAUGUAGUCAAACUCGGCCAAUAAGUCUUGCCAUUGUGCUUUCUUAUGACUUUGCUUCUUCUGUGUAUGGAAGUAGCUAAUGGCAACGUUAUUAGUCUUUAUUACGAAAUGAGACCCCAAUGGAUAGUGUCUACAGGUGAGUAAGCAAUGAAUUAUAGUUGUCAUCUCAUUCUCUUGCACUGUAUACCACCACUAGGUGUCAUUAAGCCUGGGACUCUCAAAGGCGAUAAGAUGUAUGUCUCACAUUAAAACUCUUUCAAUAGAAAAGUCGAAAGCAUCUGUGUGCACCUCGAAUACCUUGGUGUGGUGGAGUAGUGCCAACACCGGUUCAUUUGUCACAAUCUUCUUCAAAUCCUCAAAGGCUUGCUAUCACUUUUCAUCCCAUUCCUAUGCCUUAUUCUUAUUGAUAAGAUCAAUAAGUGGAGUUGCCUUAGAUGAGUAGCCUUUGAUAAACCAUUAGUACUAAUUGACUAGACCAAGAAAAUAUCUUAAUUGAGGUACCUUGGUAGGCAGAUCCCAUUCUUGGAUGGCCUUGACCUUAGUAUCAUCCAUCAAUUAGCUUGUCAUCCUUGAUGCAAUGCCCUAGGAAGCUCACUUUUCCCUUAGUGAAUGAGCAUUUCUCCUUCCUUACAUACAACUCGUUCUGCCUUAGGAUCUCAUAAACCUUUCUUAGAUGUUGCAUAUGCUCCUCCAAGGUGUUGCUAUAGACAACAAUGUCAUCCAAGUAUACCACUACAAACUUGUCCAAGAAUGGAUGAAAGAUCUUGUUCAUAAGCAUUUAGAACGUGGCUAGAGCAUCAGUGAGUUUGAAGGGCAUCACUAAGAACUCAUAGGAGCCAUACCAAGUCACACACGUUGUCUUUGGAUCAUCCCCCUCCAUAAUCCUUAGUAGUAGCCCGACCUCAAGUCCAACUUUGUGAAGUAUUUUGCCCUACCAAGCUAAUUGAAUAGAUUGACAACAAGUGGAAUAGGGUAUCUUUUUCUUAAUGGUUCCAAGGAACUCUUUUUACGGAUCACACUUAUACAUAAUCAUUAAAUUCAAACCUUGUUUUGUUAUCAUUAAAACACAACAUUAACCAAACCUUGGUCUAACACAACAUUGAGUACUUUAAGUCAUGGCAAAUGGCUAAGCUCAAAAUGAAGCUUUUUAGUAGUGGAUGUACUAUAAAUGAAUCUCCUUAAGGUUAGAAUAAAUUAAAAUUAGAGGGACCGACAAGAAUUGUUCCAUUUAUGGAAUUUUGUGCAAGGUUAAUAUGCUGAACAAAUGAGGGUUGGCCAUCUAGAAGAAUUGGCCAUAAAAUGAGUUGAAGUUGGAGAGUUUGAGGGGAUAUGAUGCCAGAGAUCCCAAGUAUACGAACCAAGUUAAGUGAACCAAGCCAACUGAGUACAGUGAGAUGAAUUGAGGUUCCAUUCUUGAGUUCCUUUAUUGGUGCAAGAGACACCGUACCAAGUAUAGGCGAUGAAUUUAGGUUCCAAACUAACAAAGCAGCAUGAAGGUCAGAGGCUGUGGAUUUCAAAGAUAGAAGUGCAUAUAUAUCGGUGUUAGCAUCAAGAGCUCCUAGCUUGUUCAUGCUACAAGGUAGAAUAAUUUGAAACUGAAGGAAGGUGAGUCAUGCAAUCUGGAGAUGCUCUUUCAUCUUUUUAAAUCAAGGUCAUGGANNNNNNNNNNNNNNNNNNNNNNNNNNNNNNNNNNNNNNNNNNNNNNNNNNNNNNNNNNNNNNNNNNNNNNNNNNNNNNNNNNNNNNNNNNNNNNNNNNNNNNNNNNNNNNNNNNNNNNNNNNNNNNNNNCUUUCAUAAUCUCUUCCCAUAUUAUAUCAAUGAUAAUUGAUUUGAUCUGGAUUUCACUUCUUAUGUUGUCUGCUUUUAAGAACAAUAUUUCAUUAGACUUUAGUAUUCGGACUUAUAUUUAUACGUACUAGUUAGCUAGCGUAAUUUCUUCUGCUGUUAUACACUUCAUUUAUAAUAAACAACUUUAAUAUUAUUCUGUCAAAUAUAUGAAUAUUUACCAAUUUACAACUCGUAUAUACAAGUCUUCAUGCACAACUCUCACCCUACAUACUACACAUUUGCCAAUAUUUGUACACAUUCAAAGAUUCCUUUUAUGAAAAAACAAAACAAAAUAAAAUCUAAUGGUAGUGACAGUACUGAAUUGCCACAGUCAUAAGACUAACCCUGUUUUAUGCAAAGGAAGCUCGUCUCCUUUGACCAAUUGGUGAGUCUGGUAUACAGGGCAUAUGGCCAUGAAUCGUCUGAAUGAAUAUGGGUUCUAUUUAGUCUUUGAUCCAGGGAGCAUGACAGUUUAAGCUUGUGCUUAGUUUUCCCUUUGAAUGAAUAUGUACGCAUCCCAAUGCAAUCAUAAAGUCUAUGGAUUCAUCUUGAAUCCUAAUGCUUAAUCUUCUCGACAAUAUGAAGUGCAAUAAAAUAAACAAAUGCACUCUAUCCAAUUGUUAUAAAAAUUACUAAGUUGGAAAUUGUCCACAUAGGCAUGUGAAUUAUCGAGUUAUCCUAAGAUUGGACAGCCGGUCUUUCUUGAUAAGAAGUUAAUACAGAUUUUUUCUUUUUCUUCUUUGAGAUUUUGUAACUGUUGUGUGUGCAUGAUUGGUCACUCAUUUGCUUGUGACAUCAUCUUCAUAACUUAUUUUCUUCACAAAAAAUAUUCUUUUUUAUUCUGUGACAGAAUUUAAAAGUUGACUUUGACUGGUUUACCACUUAGUUGCAACUUCAUGUUCUUAGCCGUCUUCCCCAUCUCCAGUUCAAAAGCCUUGUUUCUAUUUCUAAGUUAGUAAGAGCCACUACAAGAAAAAAGUGAAAUAAUGACGUUUUUUAAGCGUCAAGAAAGGUAAAAGAUGACACUUCCCCGAAGCGUCAUCUCCGCCCCUGUCAUUAAAUGUUACAAUUAACAAUGACAUUUCCAAGAAGCGCCAUCUUUUAUUAAUGCUUUCAAUGGCGCUUUAAGAAGUGUUAUCCUUUAAUAAUGUCAACAAUGACACUUGUGAAAGUGUCAUCUUUGAACAUUUUAAUUGAAAUAAUUUUUAUAAAAUUACCACUCUUGACACUUUUGCGAACGCCAUCUUUGAUUUAAUCUUAUUAAUGACACUUUUAAAAAUGUCUUCUUUGUUUCAUGUUAACAAUGACGCUUAUAAAAGCAUCAUCUUUGAACAGUUUCUAUUAAAAAAUAAUAUUUUGAUUAUGUUAUAUAAACAAUUGAUUUCUUAUAUAAUUAAAUUAAAAAAACAAUUACAACCAAUAAAAUAAAAUCAAAUAUCCAAAUAUUGAUACACGUGAACCUAGUUUAAACAAUUAACGUAACCACCUAUAUAUAUUAAUUACACAUAAACUUGUUAAUUAUAUCAAAAUAUUUCAAUAAGAAUUUCUAAUUCUAACAUAAUAACAAACAUUGGUACUAAGACUACUAAAAUAAACCAUAAUCUUUAAAAGCAUAGUUCAACCUCCUAAUGAGUUCACUGAUGUAAUCUUCAUGGUUUUUGACUUCAUCUUCUUUAACACAAUGGUUUUUCUUCUUUUAGCAAACAAGUUUCCUUUGCAACCUGUAAAUAAAAAUAAGGAAGAGUAUAAAAAGUCUAAAUUAUUUAUACAUACAAUAAAUAAUAAGCAUAAAUGAAAUAAUAACCUUCACAAAAUUAAUUUAGGUUAUCAAGUUUGCUUACAUGAAUCCCCUUAGCCUCUUACAUACAUGGAUUGUGCUCCUUUCAAUUCAUUAUACGAAAAAAAAAAUUAUAUUAUGAAGUGUUUUUGAAAUAAAAUAUAACAGAUUAUUCUAAUGUAGAUAAAAAGCUCUCCAUUGUCAUCUCUAAANNNNNNNNNNNNNNNNNNNNNNNNNNNNNNNNNNNNNNNNNNNNNNNNNNNNNNNNNNNNNNNNNNNNNNNNNNNNNNNNNNNNNNNNNNNNNNNNNNNNCUUUGAACAUUUUAAUUGAAAUAAUUUUUAUAAAAUUACCACUCUUGACACUUUUGCGAACGCCAUCUUUGAUUUAAUCUUAUUAAUGACACUUUUAAAAAUGUCUUCUUUGUUUCAUGUUAACAAUGACGCUUAUAAAAGCAUCAUCUUUGAACAGUUUCUAUUAAAAAAUAAUAUUUUGAUUCUGUUAUUAAAACAAUUGAUUUCUUAUAUAAUUAAAUUAAAAAAACAAUUACAACCAAUAAAAUAAAAUCAAAUAUCCAAAUAUUGAUACACGUGAACCUAGUUUAAACAAUUAACGUAACCACCUAUAUAUAUUAAUUACACAUAAACUUGUUAAUUAUAUCAAAAUAUUUCAAUAAGAAUUUCUAAUUCUAACAUAAUAACAAACAUUGGUACUAAGACUACUAAAAUAAACCAUAAUCUUUAAAAGCAUAGUUCAACCUCCUAAUGAGUUCACUGAUGUAAUCUUCAUGGUUUUUGACUUCAUCUUCUUUAACACAAUGGUUUCUCUUCUUUUAGCAAACAAGUUUCCUUUGCAACCUGUAAAUAAAAAUAAGGAAGAGUAUAAAAAGUCUAAAUUAUUUAUACAUACAAUAAAUAAUAAGCAUAAAUGAAAUAAUAACCUUCACAAAAUUAAUUUAGGUUAUCAAGUUUGCUUACAUGAAUCCCCUUAGCCUCUUACAUACAUGGAUUGUGCUCCUUUCAAUUCAUUAUAUGAAAAAAAAAAAUUUAUAUUAUGAAGUGUUUUCGAAAUAAAAUAUAAUAGAUUAUUCUAAUGUAGAUAAAAAGCUCUCCAUUGUCAUCUCUAAAAAGCUCUUCAAAAAAGACCUCAUAAAAGAAUUCAUCAAAGUAAAACUAGACAUACAAAACAUUUCAUUAAGGAGACCAAUGAGUUGAAACUAAAUAAAUAAAUUUGUACUCUAUCAACAAAAUACCCUGAACUACAAUUUCAACUACCAUAUUAUGCUUUCCCCAAAAUAAGGAAAAAAAAUGUACUUAAAUUUUUUUAAAAAGUUUGAUUUUUUAUUCAACAACAUAGAAGAAAUAAAUUCUGUUUUUAUGGCAGUGAGUCUCAUGUUAAACAUUUCUUCUAUGGUACGUUGUGGUUGGUCCACUUGAUUGAUUCCUCAUGCUAUUAUGGUUCAUAACAAUUUCAAGUUCUGUUCUUGGUUGGAUUGGUGUAAUAGAUUAAUACUUUGUCCCAACUUGAAUAAUAAGCUUAAGAGAUGUCAAAAAGCUGAAAUUAUUAAGCACUUCAACAAUCCAACACAUUGGCUUUAAAAAAUAAUUAUUCAAGUCAUUAAGUUAAGACUUAUAUUGUUUUUCUUUUUUCUACUUUUUUACCCAUUGUUUGGUUGCUAAGAAAAUAGAGGAUAAAAAAAAAACAAAAAACAAAAUGGAUUCUCACAAAUUCUGUUUUUUCAAAUUCAAUCAAAUGGAAAUAUCAAUCCAACUAAGCCAAGUAUGUGUAUGGUGUAUAUAUUAAACUCAAUUAAAGAUUUUGAUUUCACUCCUUUGCAUAUAUUUCUCAACAAUCAAAAUAGAGCCUUAUAAGAAAAUCAUAACUUUGAGAGAUCUAUAUAUACUCCAUCCAAAUCUUAUAUUUCCAAACAAAACAAACAUCAAAACACAUUAAUCAUGACAUAAUAGUCUGUUUGUCUCCAGGAAAAUUUAGAGAGAAAAAAAGAAAAAUAAAUAAAUAAAAUUUUUCUUCCUCAGAUUUUUCAUUGCAACUGAGACUAAUAAAACAAGCAGAAGACAUAAAGAUCCAAAAGCUUCAUUUCCUUGUCUUUUUUCUUUUCAGCAACCAAAUGCACUAAGUAAUCUAAACAUUAAUUUUAAAGACAAUAACACAAUGAAGGAUUCAGUCAUUAAUGGAUAAAAAACAAUCUUUCAUCAAAUCUUGAUUCUCAUAUUUCUCACUCCAACUGUUGUAAUACUACCACGUCACUCAAAUCAAUCAAAUAACACAAAACACAAAGAUUCAAAAUUUUCUUUUAAAAGGAAAAAAACGAGAUAUACAACCAUUAAUAGAUCAGAUAGAAUUCUCCAUCAAAUUUCUAGUCCCAGAUUUUUCACUCCAACUGUUCCAAUUCCACUACAUGAUCAACAAAAAAAAAAUUAAAAUAGAAAUAAUUUUUAAAAUUCAAAAUUUAAAAACACACACACAUUGCCACCACCACUACCAAUAACAACAAUGAGAAAUAUAUAUAGUUAAUAAAAAUAAAAUCAAUCAUUUGUCAAAUCUCUACAUGAAAAAAUAAAUAAAUAAAUAAAAUAAAAUAUAAAAAACACACACACACAAAACAUAAAACACAAAGAUUCAAAUAUAAAUAAUAAGUAGCAGAGUGAUCGAUAGAUUAAAAAAUUCCCCAUGAAAUGUCAAGUCUCAUAUUUUUCAACAUCCAACUGCUAUAUAUAAUACUCUAUGGAAUACUCAAUCAUGAACAAAAAUAUGAAACACAAAGAUUUAAAACUUUCUUUUCUCAGCAACUAAACAAUAAAGGAAAUCAGAGUUAGAACUCUUCUAGGGAUCAUGUGGAAGAGUCUGUUAUAGUCUCAAAAACCUAUUCUUCCCAAGAGUAUAGCAUAUUAUUCUCACUUCAACUGUAUCUAAAAUCACUACGGAAACUGUCACAACUCCACACCAAGUAAGCUAAUAAUUUCUGCCACAUUAGAAAGAGUGGGAGGAUUAUGCAUGAUAACCCUUCACUUUUAAGUAGAUCAAAUGUGGCAAGAUGCCUAACCGAUUUAAUCAAUAUGGAGGUGAGGUGGCUCCCACACCCAAUGCAGACCUUUUGCCUUCAAUCCACCAACUAUCCUCACCAGCUGACGCCAACACAACCCCCACCAAGUUGAUAUAACCACAUAACACUCACCGCCACCACUUUAGAUGUCACCACACAACCAUGAACAUUAUCCUAUUCCAAACUAAUAAAUGCACUGGGUUCAUAAAAUCAAAUGAGUUUGAACCCAAUAAUGGUUUAUUGUUUAUUGAGUUAAAAUUCUACAUCAAAUUUAAACUUAACGCUAGGGAAUUAGAGGGCCUGACCUUUCCAUGCCUACCAGUGCAGAAAACAGGAGGAAUGGGGUACCUCUCACUCAACCUCUCCCUCACUUUUUCCUUUUGGAAUGGCGGGGUAAUACUGCUACUCUGUUGGGCUUCCUUGAGACAGGCCGUCCAGGAUGACUGUUCUUGGGAACAUUUUUCAGUGGGUGUAUGUUGCAGCUUCUCUGUUUCAUCCCUGGCGGGACUACCAUCUGAGAGGACUGUCAGUUCACUAACCAGGGAAGGAGUUUCCUCCAGCUCUUUGUCUGUGACAACCCUUAGGCUCAGGCAAACCUUCUGUAUGAUGAUGGACAAUGAACAAAGCAUCCUCUUCUGUUCUUCAGCAUCCCUGCAGUCUACACGUAAGAAAAACUCCAAGACAAAGUCAGAUGAAGGAACAUGAAUACUCCACAGGCGUAUUGCAACAGCAGCACAUCGAAAACAAUUCUCCAUCAGCAUAUUAUUCUCACUUCAACUGUAUCUAAAAUCACUACCUGAUCCAAAAUAUAAAAAAACACAAAACAUGGAGAUUCAAAAUUUUCUUAUUCUCCCAAAUAUAAAAUAAUGAGAAAUGCAGUUAAUAGUGGAUCAAUAACAGAACAAAAUCAAAACUUAGCAUUUCAUCAUGAAAAAAGAAUGAAUCAUAGAACAAAGGAGACUAUUGAGUUACUUUUGAAAGAAGUCUUCAUCGACGACAACAGCUAUGUCGAUGAGAAGGUUGCUCGUGUUCAAGAGAAUUCCUUUGUAAGCAAUUGGUAGUGAGGAGGUUAAGCUUCUGGCACUCCUUGUCAGGAAUGAAGAUAGUUUUGGUCGAGGGUAGUGAUGGUGGAUUUUCGGGAGUCUCUAAUGGAUUAGGGUUUCAUUUCUAAAUAUUGUCGAUAAAGUCUUUGACUAAUGGCUGGUGGUCUGUAGUCGUUUACUGGUAGUCACCAGUUGGUUCCUAGUGGUCGCCCAUGUGUUCGUCGGUGAAAUCAUCUACAGGUAGCUUUCCUAUACAAAUGGGGGUUUGUCGGGUUGAGAUGGUGUUUGUGAAGAUGAAAUGCUAUUUUAGAGAAGGGAAAAUAUGGAUUGUGUAUAUAUAACGAGAGACAAUGACCCUUGUAAAAAGUGCUAAGAAAAGACAUUAUGUAUAUGCAGGAGACAAUGACACUUGCAACAAGCGCCAAGGAUGUUCAUAUUUAUCAAUGACACGUUUUCAAGCGUCAUCUUCAAUAAAGCGUCAUUAUUUUAUAUACGAAAACGCCAAUGUUAAUUGAAUUUCUUCAAGUGCCAAUGUAAAUAUUAAGGAAGUGUCAUCAUUUAGAAAGCGCCAUUAUUGGUUUAAUUCAUUGACGUUUUUUAAAAAGGUCAAGAAAUUAAGCGUCAUUAUUUAGUAUUUUUGUAGUAGUAGCUAUCCUUACCCCUUCAUUUAUCAGGAUUGUAUAUAUAGUGUACUCUUCAGUGCCAUUAUAUAUUGUGUCAAUUGAUUCAUCUCAAAGGUCUAGUUUUUAAACUUGUUGGUAUUAUAUGUAUGAAUAUACAUAAUUCAAUUGCUAUGAAAAAAUUAAUAAAUAUACUCCAUAACAAUUAUUGGAAGUUGGUGACUAUCUGUAUGGUUGACCUGGUAAACAGAUUCAUCUCAAGAUGGCACAGUAAGCUCUUUCUAGAGAAGUCAACAUAGACCAUUUUAUUGUGUUUUUUAUUUUAUUUUAUUUUAUUUUUAAUCUUUCUUCUUCUGCAACAAUUAUCGAUUAGUUGAGAUAAUGAUAUUGGUCCAACACUUGUUAAUGGCAACAUCAUUUUUGUUAGCCAUUUUCAUUUAUCUACUAUGUAGAAGCCUUGUUCCAUAUGCCUACUCUAUAAGAGCUAUCUUCCGUGUAUCAUAGAUGGAACGUGGAACAGAUAAUGCAUAUGCAAAACAUAGAAGAAAGAACUCUACGGGGAUUAUUUCCUAGGAAAAACUAAUCAGGAUUUAGUGCUAGUAGCAUACUUUUAGUCUAGUAAAUUUUGUGAGUUGAGCAGACUAACAGACAUUCUAAGCUUAGUCCCUUUGUUUUAUAACUCAAAAAGGGUGUGGUUUUCAGUUAGUAUUUGAGUUACUUUUUUUUUUUUUUGAUGGCUAACAAGAAAGCCGCUCUGCGCCCACCCCCCACCACCAAAAGAAAAAGGAAGUGAGAAAGAAAGAAAGAAUAAAUCAGAAUAAGAAUUGUUCUAAUAAAAAUUUAGAAGCGCAUCUUUAAAAUACUUAAAAUUAUCCUUAGAUUAUGUGCAAGGAGUAAGGUCUAUGCAAAUGUAAUAAAAGAAAACAAGUUAUAAUCAUCCCAAUUACUAUAAGAUACAAAUUAGAGAUCUCUCAAGGUUUAGUUUAGAAGAUUCUUCAUGUAUUGUUCAAAAUAUUGAUUUGACUUAUCAACAAGAGGCAGAUUACUCUUCUUCCAAAACUGGAAUACAUUUGACUGGUCUUGUGAGCUAAUCAUGAUAAAACAAAACAGUCAGACAACCUAGAUUUUCUUAAUGUGUAAUUAAAUAGUUAGUGUUUCUAAAUCGAUCCCUCAUGUUUUCAGUAUAAAUACUCAACCUCGACUAAAUUCUUCAUUAUCAUCCCAUUCUUACCUUUUGUUUUCUUUAGCUUGUAAUGUAUUCAUCCUCUAAAGUUAGCAUGGCAAAGAUUUAUUCCUCAAGCCUCCAAAGUCAUGCUGACAGCUAUAUUUAUAGCAAUCCUAUUGCUUAUGUCUUUUGUGGCCACUACUGCAAUUCUACAGGACACAACAAUAGGAGUUAAAUUAGGUGAGUAGAAAAUUAUCAUAUGGACUGUUCUAUUUUUGUUUCUCAAUGCCAAGAUACUUUUGCUUUUUGCUAUCAACUUUGCAUGCCUUUUGCCUUUUUCAUUUCUGUGAUUGUGAGUGAAAUUUGUUCAGUUUCUAUGAGUUGGGGGUUUUAUUGAACUCCAGCCAUGGAAUUUGUAACUGAGAAACCUUCAAACGGAAGGGUCUACUCAUCUAUGAUCUUGACCAUUUAUUAUUUUUGUGUUGCAGGAUGGAAGGCUCUAGGUUUAUCCGUCCAUGUUGAUUAUGAAGACCAGUAUGAUACAGGAGGGGGAUGAUACAGCUCAACAAGUCCAUAAUCACUUCAGAAUUAGGUUCCCAAGAGUUGUUUUUGAGAAGGUUGCCAAAUAAAUCUUAGAAUUUCUUUCUGUUUCUGAGUGAUAAUAUGGUUCAUGUACUUUAUUCUAUGGCUGAUGUAGAUUUUACUAGGAAGCAUUUGUACCUUAAAGAAGCACAGAAAGUUUGGUGUUAGAAUCUCUAAAAAUGUUGUGAUUUUUAUUUUUAUUUUUCACUUAUGUUGAAAUUAUAAAUUAAGGGCUUUUCUCCUAGUUCCAUUGUAAUUCUCUCUAGUACUCUAGGGAGGAGUCUACCUCAAAUCCCACUCCAAAUUACUAGUUCACAAAACUCAAUUAAUCGCUGGGAGUUCUUAAUGCC